UUUCUCGGGCACAGAAAUACACAGCGGAGUCGGCAGCUGUCAGGGAGGUCAGCUGGAGAGAGAACUCGUUCUUGGAGGCAUCUGAAGAAAUGGUUGUUCGGCUUUGCAGAGAAGGGGCAUAGAAUUUGCCCCCUGAGUUGUGAUUUAUUGCUGCAAUCCAUUCUAGACCUUUCCCACGAGGCUGACGGAUCCAGUGCCAAGCAUAAGAAGAAGAAGUGGAAAUAGAGAAACCUGUCACUUUACAGACUAAACUCAGAUUCUCUCCAGGUCUCACUGUUCCUGGUCCAGAAAGUGCAAGCUGAAUGUCUGAGAAGGCCCCUUGGGAAAGAGAGAAGAUUGCAAUGAGCAUCAGACACCAUCUAAUUCAUACAUUAAGUAAACAGAGCUGUCUUAAUUUUCCCCAGAAGGCAUGCUUACAUCUUGGAACAGCCACAAAAGAAAACAAGAACAGAAUGAACUUCAUAAUUUGUAUAGGUAGCCUAUUGAGGAAAGAUGAUCUUUUGAACGGGAGAAAAGGUCAGGGUCUUUAAAGUGGUGAGUUUCCUUUUGAAGAGGAAUUCUGCCCGCCCCCAUAUUUACAUGAGCCCCUCCUCCAAUGACAGGUGGAAUAUAAAGUGGCUCUUACAAGCAGAAUGAUGUAGGCUUUUCCAGGUCUUCCUUAUUUGUCACUGAGAAUGCCUGGACAGAGAGAUGAUUUCCCCUCCCCAGCACUUGCUCUUUGGUACAUCACUGCUCUGGGCAUUUGUUCAGGCAUGCCCAGAGCAGUGGGCAAAGAUUCUUUCCCACAAACUUGAUUCAGCAGAAAUAGGGGUGGAUCCAAAUCCUUCCUCUUUAUCCUGCCUGUUGGGACUGCAUAAAUAGAGAGAGAGGGUGAAGCUCCUGAAAGCCCAGAAUAUGUGACUGCAUAACCUCCAAGAUUACUCAGAUGAAAAUAAGGACAUUCAUCACUCCCCAACCCUACAAUUGACCCUCCUCGAUCCCCUUUUUAUUCUCCCCUAUGUAGUGCAUUUCCUGACAGAAGAACAGCCAGGGCCACCACACAGAAGACCUACUGUCCACUGUCAUGAGAAUUCCCCUUAAUGCCAUUUUUAUUUUAUUCUUUGAUAGACUUACAAAAAGAAAAACACAGGCAAUAAAUAAAUUUUUAAAAGUGGCAAGAUUAGAUGUGGACACACAAUUUUUUUUUUAAUUAAAAAAGAUCAAGACUUUUUAUGUUUUUUUAUUUUAAAAUUCAACUCUUCCCCUCCCCAGUGCAGUUCAAAUUGAAAGCUAGGAAAUGGUGUCAAUUGACUAUUCAGAUUUUUGCUUGAACUAUCCAGUUCAUUCCCCACAAACAGGAAGAAAUGCUAAUAAGAUUUCAGAUGAAAGUUUUUUCUGAGCCUACAUUCAAUUCCUUUCACUAUGUCUCUCUUGCACAGUACAGUGGUACCUCUGGAUGCAAACGGGAUCUGUUCUGGUGCCCCGUUCGCAUCCAGAAGUGAAUGCAACCUGCGUCCAUGCGUCUGCGCGUGUGCGGGUUGCGAUUUGCUGCUUCUGCGCAUGCGCGUGACAUCAUUUGGACCGUCUGCGCAUGCACGAGAGGUGAAACCCGGAAGUAACAUGCUCCAUUACUUCCGGGUCGUCGCACCGCACAACCCAAAAAUACUUAUCCCGAAGCUACUUCAACCUGAAGUAUGACUGUAAUACACAGCUGUGUCCUCAGGUUUAAGGCUGAGCGUAGUGUUUCCAGAUUACUUAAUUCCCAGUCCAGGAGGACCACAACAUGCUGGUGGCAGAAGCUGCUCCUGAAUAUCUUCCACUGUAAAUAGAAUUUUUGAAAGAACAGAAAUCUUGAAGGAAGUCUGAAGCCCUGUGAGAAAAAGAAAGGAAUGGGCAGGAUGAAUUUGCUUUGAAUGGGUUUACUGGGUUGGAACAAGAUAAUCACGGGACAACUCCCAACAGGCUAGAGAUGGGCUAAAGAAGAACAGAUGUUCCCUGUAGUAACAGCUAAUGUUGUUCCCUUGUUUUGUCUGCUCUGUCCUGAUAGAUUCUGGUUUGUGGUGCUUUGAUGCCCCCUCUGGAAACUUCACUAAUGGAAUGCAAUGAAGAGUUUUUGUCUAAGGUCUAAUGGGAAAUCUCUCACUGUGUCUCUUGCACAGUAAUACAUGGCUGUGUCUUCUGCUGCCAGGCUGUUCAUUUGCAGAUAGAGCAGGCUGUUUGAAUUGUCCCUGGAAAUGGUGAAGCGCCCCUUCACUUUCUCCAAGUAGCGAAUGUCAGCUGAAGCACCAGAUAUUUGUGCCACCCACUCCAAGCCUUUUCCUGGUGCUUGUCUCACCCAGUGCAUGUAAUAGCUGCUGAAGGUGAACCCGGAGGCUCGACAGGUAAGGCGGAGGGACUCUCCAGGCUUUUUUGUAUCCCCUCCAGACUCCACCAGCUGAAUCUCCGAUUGGAUGCCUAGAAAAAAAAGAGAUAUCAAUUAUCGCUUCUGCAUAUUAUUAGCAGUCUGGCUGUCCAACUCUUGUUUAUUUGAAAGGAUGGAUUUACCUCUAAAAACGGCUGAACAGAAAACAAGCUGAAGCAGAACUAUCAUUUUUGCCAUCUAAUGCCAGGAAAGGUUUGAACAAAUUCUGGCCCCACGUAUUCAGGGUCCUGUGGCUGAGGAAGGCAGGGUGCCUGGUGGAUUUAAAGAGGAAGCAAUCUCCAAUAAUUUGCAUAUGUAGUAAGGUAAAAGCACCACUACAGCUGUUGGGCAAACUAUGGUUCUGAGGGCAAGCCUAGUCUAUAUAACAAGCUAUUAUUUUCCAGUGUCUAGUUUAGCAGUUGUUACCACAGUAGGUUUGAAUAUUCCUCUUAGGAUCAAAGAGCAAAAUGGGGCUUGGGUAUUAGGUUGCCAUCUUUCUUUUCUUUUCUUUUCUUUUCUUUUCUUUUCUUUUCUUUUCUUUUCUUUUCUUUUCUUUUCUUUUCUUUUUGUCUUUCUUAAAGAUGGGGAAAUAAUGUUAUUGGCAUCUGGAAAUAAUAGAAUGAAUAAAAGCUGACACCACUUGAAAUAAAAAUCAUCUCGAACAAAAAUAUGGUUUCAAAGCUUUACUUACAGAACUUUCAUAGAAUCAUAGAAUUGUAGCUUGCUCCAAAAUAGACAGAAAACAAUGUUACAUCAAAUAGUUGCAUAAAACCAUGUGUUUCUCCAACCACAAGUUUAGCAUCUUAGUAAUAUAAAAUCACUCCAAACAGAGCUGGGGAAAAAAGCUCUUUCCACACCCAGACUCCAUUAGCCUGAAUUCCAGUCUGAAGCUUUUCUCUCCUGGAGAUACCUCAUUAGGAAACCUUACUUCUAUGGUGGCUUGAGCAAGGACAGAGGAAAGGCGGUGUGGUGGGGGCAGGCUGCCCUGGGUGUCACCACUGAGGAGGGUGAUAAAAUGCCGGGCGGCACUCACCGUGGGGCCUGCAGUGCACAAGCCACACGUCUCUCCUGGGAGUGACGCAGUGGCUUGGGUGCUGGCAGGCUCCGUAUUGCCACAAACGGUCCACCCGCUGCCUCCCCCUCAGCUGUAGGGCAGCUGAGUGGGAGGAGGCAGGCAGUGUCCUUGGAGGCCCCAUGGAGUAUCCUGCCCCGGCUCACUCCACCGCUGGGCACAGGACACGUGCACCGCUGCAGGCGCCCAAUGGGCUUGCUCUGCCGCUGGGCUUCAGAACAAAGGACAACUCCCUAAAAAUGGAGGUUUGCAACUGAAAUCAAGAUACAGGACCGUAUCCCAUAAGAACUGUAUUCCUGAAUAGCACCUCAAAUGCAGUGGUGGAGUUUCAUGCUCCAGCACCGGGGGGCAGAGAUCAGGCGGGGACAGGCCUGGCGCGCAUACAAAGGGCAUGGCGUGCCACCCGCAGGGGCAAGACGUGCGUCCUGGGGCCGUGGUACACCGCCUGUGGGGACUUGGCAGCCGUGAUGAUACCCCAACAGAAUUGCACUGCCAGGGGUGGUGCAUUCCCCCCCCCCGCACGCCUCUUCCUCCACCAGUGCUCAAAUGUUGUCACAUGGUGUGAUUCCUGAAAGCACUGGCAAAAUUACAGCAAGCACAAAAAUCCAGGAUGAUGGAAUUCCAAAUGGAUGUUUUUCUGGAAUACAUUAUCAUGGAAAUGAGUGCUAAGGUUCCACAGGAUUACACUAGAUUUACGGAAGUAGCUUUUGUGUCAUGUGAAAGAGAGAUCUCACCAGAGACAGAAACCAUGUGGAGUGGCACUGUGAUGUAUUGUGCACUUCACGUGGGAGUUGCCCCAUUGGUCCCUGUUUGCUUUUCUUCCCCCCUUGUUAACAAUACAUCCUCCUCUAGCACCUGCAUUCCAGCUGCAAAGGCUGCAAAGCAGGGCUUUUUGUACAAGCAGGAAAGCAGAGGUUGUCACUGUGUCUCUUGAACAGUAAUACAAGGCAGAGUCCUCAGGCUUCAAGCUGGUCAUUUGAAGAUAGGCUGAAGUUUGAGGAUUGUCUCUGGAGAUGGUGAAGCGUCCCUGAACCUUGGAAUUAUACCAUUGGCUACUUCCUGAACCACUUACUCCAGCCACCCACUCCAGUCCUUUCCCAGGAGCCUGACGAAUCCAGUGGAUUUCAUAACUAGUAAAGGUGAAUCCUGAAGCCUUACAGGAGAGGCGGAGGGAGCCUCCAGGAGCUACAGCACCUCCUCCAGUCUCCACCAACUGAACCUCUGAGUGACAGCCUGUAAAAUAGAAGAAAGAUAAUCAGGGGAUACCUGUGUAGAAAAGUGUGCAAGUCUGCAGGAUUUCCAGUGAGAGAAAUAUUACCUGGGAGAGCUGUCAAGAAGAGAAGGAAGUUUAACCAAAGAAUCAUGUCUCUUCUGUGUUGCGGAUUGUUUGGAUCACCUUCUUGACUGGCUCAGUCUUAGCUGGCUGGAGGUGGCAAGACUGAAUUGGAAAGGGUAGCUUUUAAGGCAGUGAUGUGGUUCAACUGAUUUGCAUGUGCUUUAUAUAAUAACCUCCUUCCCUCUUAAUUCACAAUUCUUUCCCAGCUAAAGGGCCACAAAGAAGAAGAAGAGCAAUUUACAUGUGGUGCUGUGUCCCCAUAGCCCUGCACGUCACGGCUGACCAAAAGACCACUCAAUACUACAGUGUAUGGUUCAAAUUAGGCGACAACUUUAUUGAAUGCAACUGUAAGGGGCCUGACUGCUAAUUGAUCCACACAGGGGUCAAACCAAUGUUGAGGAGGCCUUAUUACAUACAUCAGGUGCCACUUCAUAGAAUCAUAGAAUCAUAGAGUUGGAAGAGACCGCAAGGGCCUUCAAGUCCAACCCCCUGCCAAGCAGGAAACACCAUCAGAGCACUCCUGACAUAUGGUUGUCAAGACUCUGCUUAAAGACCUCCAAAGAAGGAGACUCACCACACUCCUUGGCAGCAAAUUCCACUGUCGAACAGCUCUUACUGUCAGGAAGUUCUUCCUAAUGUUUAGGUGGAAUCUUCUUUCUUGUAGUUUGGAUCCAUUGCUCCGUGUCCGCUUCUCUGGAGCAGCAGAAAACAACCUUUCUCCCUCCUCUAUGUGACAUCCUUUUAUAUAUUUGAACAUGGCUAUCAUAUCACCCCUUAACCUCCUCUUCUCCAGGCUAAACAUGCCCAGCUCCUUAGCCGUUCCUCAUAAGGCAUCGUUUCCAGGCCUUUGACCAUUUUGGUUGCCCUCCUCUGGACACGUUCCAGUUUGUCAGUGUCCUUCUUGAACUGUGGUGCCCAGAACUGGACACAGUACUCCAGGUGAGGUCUGACCAGAGCAGAAUACAGUGGCACUAUUACUUCCCUUGAUCUAGAUGCUAUACUCCUAUUGAUGCAGCCCAGAAUUGCAUUGGCUUUUUAGCUGCCGCGUCACACUGUUGGCUCAUGUCAAGUUUGUGGUCAACCAAGACUCCUAGAUCCUUUUCACAUGUACUGCUCUCAAGCCAGGUGUCCCCAUCUUGUAUUUGUGCCUCUCAUUUUUUUGCCCAAGUGCAAUACUUUACAUUUCUCCCUGUUAAAAUUCAUCUUGUUUGUUUUGGCCCAGUUCUCUAAUCUGUCAAGGUUGUUUUGAAGUGUGAUCCUGUCCUCUGGGGUGUUAGCCACCCCUCCCAGUUUGGUGUCAUCUGCAAAUUUGAUCAGGAUGCCCUUGCAGUCCAUCAUCCAAGUCGUUGAUACACAAGAACCACCAACUCAAGAAGUGCUAUGGUCCUACCCCCCGAUAUAUCCAGAAAUGCAUUUAUCUGGGGACAGCUUGCAUCAUUAUGGUAAAAAAAGACAUAUAGAAAGACAUUAUUUUAAGAGGGAACACUUUGUAUAUUGGUGAAAUUGCAUACAUAAAUGUAUAGAAGGGAGAAAAAUUGCACCAAGAUGCUGACAAGCUUUCAUGAGGACAAAUAAAAUAUUACCAAAACCAGUAGAGAAGCAGCACCAGAAUUGGUGACUCCUUCUUGUGAGAUCUCAUUAGAUCUUGCCGGAACUGGCCAUUAAACAUAAGUAAGGGUAUCUUUUGCUGGGGGCAGGCGGAAGAAGGUACAGCAGGAACACUUCCCAUUUCUCCAAAGGAGGUGAAAUGGGGUGCACUGCCCCUGUUGCAGCUGACCUAGGGAGUGUCCUCAGGUUUAAGGGUGUUCAUUUGCAGAUAGAGCAGGCUGUUUGAAUUGUUCCUGGAGAUGGUGAAUCUUCCUUUGACGGAAUCCAAGUAGUAAAUGUAAGAUGAACCAGUAGAUAUAUAGGCCACCCAUUCCAGUCCCUUUCCAGCAGCCUGCCGCACCCAGUUCAUCCUGCUGAAGGUGUACCCGGAGGCUCGACAGGUAAGGCGGAGGGACUCUCCAGGCUUUUUUGCAUCCCCUCCAGACUCUACCAGCUGAAUCUCCGAUUGGAUGCCUAGAAAAAAAGAGAUAUUAAUGAGCUCUUCUGCAUAUUAUUAGCAGUCAGGUUGCCCAAUUCUUGUUUAUUUGAAAGGAUGGAUUUACCUCUAAAAAUAGCUGAAAAGAAAACAAGAUGAAGCAAAGCUAUCAUUUUUGCCAUCUAAUGCCAGGAGAGGGUUGAGCAAAUUGUGGUCCCGGGUAUUCAGGGUCCUGUGGCUGAGGAAGGGAGGGUGUCUGAUGGAUUUAAAGAUGAAGCAAUCUCAAAUAAUUUGCAUAUGUAGUAAGGUAAAAGCACCACUACAGCUGUUGGGCAAACUAUGGCUCUGAAGGCAAGCCUCAGUCUAUAUCACAAGCUAUUAUUUUCCAAUGUACAGUUUAGUAAUUGUUCCCACAGUAUGUUUGUAUAUCGCUGUCAGGAAAAAAAGAGCAAAAUGGGGCUUGGCAAAGUAGAUAGCCAUCUUCCUUUCUUUUUCUGUCUUUCUAAAGAUGGGAAGAUAAAUUCACCUGUAAUGUGUGAAAUGGCUAAUAUCAAUGCCAUUUUUACACAAACCAGUCUCUCUGUUAACUUAUGUGUAUGCAGAAAAAUCCUAUUCUGUGCAGAGAUUUAGGAGAAAUUUGUGUUGUCCACUUUUCAGAAUAAUUCAACCAAGCAGAAUCUCUGGGACUUGCUUGUGGAUCAGAAGGCAACUCCCUAUGGCUUGUCCACACUUCCACUUGUCCUGUUCCUUGAAUUCAUGGGUCAGAAUGGUUUGCCUUGCUUUCUAGGCAUGAGUCUGAGCGGUUUUGCCUUUGUCCCACCACUUUCCCUGGAAAAACUGUUCUUAACAUUAAAUGCAUCUAUAUUGUCAUAAGUUUGGGAGACUUCCCUGAAAUACCUGGAUGCAGUAAAGUGUUAGGAAUUUCAGUAAAGUGUUAAAUUCUGGGUCUAGAGAGGCAAGCCUGGGCUGUGUGCAUGGAGGUCCUAGGCUGCCUGAAAAGGGUCAGAGAGGGUCAGACAUGAUAUUUGGGGUCUCUUGGCAAAAUUACAGCAAGCACAAAAAUCAAGGACAAGGGAAUUGAAAUUGGUUGUUUUACAUUAUCAUGGAAAUGAGUGCUAAGAUUCCACAGGAUUACACUUGAUUUACAGAAGUAGCUGUUGUGUCAUGAGAAAAAAUCUCCUCAGAGACAGAAAUCAUGAGGUCAGGAAACACUGGGAGAAUGGAAUGAAACACUGUCUGAAUGCAGCCUUAGAGAAGAACAGCGAUGUAUUGUGUAUUUCACAUGGGAGAUGCCUCACAGGGUUCCUGCUUGCUUUCUUUCCUGUCUUGUUGACAAUGCAUCCUCCUCUAGCACCUGCAUUCCAGCUGCAAAGGCUGCAAAGCAGGGCUUUUGUACAAGCAGGAAGGCAGAAGUUGUCACUGUGUCUCUUGAACAGUAAUACAAGGCAGAGUCCUCAGGCUUCAAGCUGGUCAUUUGUAGAUAGGCUGAAGUUUGAGGAUUGUCUCUGGAGAUGGUGAAGCGUCCCUGAACUUUGGAAUUAUACCAUUGGCUACUUCCUGAACCACUUACUCCAGCCACCCAGUCCAGUCCUUUCCCAGGAGCCUGACGAAUCCAGUGGAUUUCAUAACUAGUAAAGGUGAAUCCUGAAGCCUUGCAGGAGAGGCGGAGGGAGCCUCCAGGAGCUACAGCUCCUCCUCCAGUCUCCACCAACUGAACCUCUGAGUGACAGCCUAAAAAAAUGGAGGAAAGAACAUCAGUGGAAACCUGUGUAGAAAAGUGUGCAAGUCUCCAGAGUUUCCAGUGGGAGAAAUAUUAUCUGGGAAAGCUGUCAAGAAGAGAAGGAGGCUUAACCAAAGAAUCAUGUCUCUUCUGUGUUGCAGAUUGUUUGGAUCACCUUCUUGACUGGCUCAGUCUUAGCUGGCUGGAGGUGGCAAGACUGAAUUGGAAAGGGCAGCUUUUAAGGCAGUAAUGUUGUUCAACUGAUUUGCAUGUGCUUCAUAUAAUUACCUCCUUCCCUCUUAAUUCACAAUUCUUUCCCAGCUAAAGGGCCACAGAGAAGAAGAGGAGCAAUUUGCAUGUAGAGGUGCUGUGUCCCCAUAGCCCUGCAGGUCACAGCUGACCAAAAGACCACUCAAGACUACAGUGUAUGGUUCAAUUUAGGUGACAACCUUAUUGAAUGCAACUGUAAGAGGCCUGACUGCUAGUUGAUCAACACAGGGGUCAAACCAAUGGUGAGAGGCCAUAUGACGUACAUCGGUGGUUCUUCACAAGAACCACCAACUCAAGAAGUGCUAUGGUCCUACCCCUAUCCAUAUAUCUGCAGAAACUUGCAUCAUAAUGGUAAAAAGACAUAUAGAAACACAUUAUUUUAAGAGGGAACACUUUGUAUAUUGGUGAAAUUGCAUACAUAAAUGUAUAGAGGGGAGAAAAAUUACACCAAAAUGCUGACAAGCUUUCAUGAGGACAAAAAAAUAAUAAUUGCAAAACCAGUAGAGAAGCAGCACUAGCAUUAGUGACUCCUUCUGAUGAGAUCUCAUGAGAUCUCAUCAGAAGGAGUCACUAAACAUAGGUAAGGGUAUCCUCAGCCGGGGGCAAGCAGAAGAUGGCACAGCAGUAACCCUUCCCAUUUCUCCAAAGGGGUUCACUGCCCCUGUUGCAGCUGACCUAGCUGUGUUUAUUAUAGCUUGGACAGAGAGGCUCCUCAUAUGUAUACCUGGAUCUGUGGGUGAUUUGCGCUCUUUCCCUCCUUCCUCCACCAACUCUUUCGGUACACUGAAAACAAAGACCAUUAUUAUCCAAUGUUGAAAAACAUUAUCUUACAGCAGGGUCAACCCAGAAAGAUUUGAGCCAAAGAGGGCCUUGUCGCUCUUUAGAUUCACUUCCUCUCACUGUGGCUCUCUUGGACAGUAACACACAGCUGUGUCCUCAGGUUUCCAGUUGUUCAUUUGUGAAGAGAGCUGUCUGUUUGAACCAUCCCUGCAGAUGGUGAAUCUUCCUUUAAUAGAAUCCAAGAAGUAAACAGGAGGUGGAGAUGUGCUUAUUUUGGCCACCCAUUUGUGGCCUUGUCCAGGAGCCUUUCACACCCAGUCCAGUGGAGGGGAGACUCCAUGGGGCUUUUAAUGUCCCCUCCAGAUUCCUUGUGCUGGAUUUCUGAAUUGGCAGCUGGGAGGGAACCUGGAUGGUGUCAGUAGGGAGCUUCCUAGAUGUGGGUUGGGAAAUGUUGGACGGUAUGGUAUUGAUGAAGGUGGAGUGAACUUUGCUGUGUUCUGGCUUAGUGGGUAGGAACAGGAUGACCCAAUGGCAACUCACAACAAGGCUGGAUCUGGACCAAAGAAUAAAAGUUUUUCAGUAUUAUUAAUAGCUAUUGUGAAACUAUUAACAGUAAUAAUAUUAAUAGUAUUAAUAAUAAUUGCAUGACCAGGUGGCAACUUCCCCAGCCCCCAGGAACCACCAAAAGGAAGAAUGACUUGUGGCAACGUGUUAUGGAAUUAAAAUUUGGACACAACUUUAUUAAACUUUCAAGUGUAGGAAGACCUUGGCUUAGGCAUUGGGCGUGUGUCCUCCCAGCCCCCCAGCCGGGAGAACUGGGGCUCCUCAGGGUUAUUGGGAUAUGGGGGUGCUCUGCAAGAUGCAUGUGUAUGCAGGCAGCCCACCCCAUAUCCCUGCACGUAGGGUAGUUCACUGACAACCUUUCAGUGUAUGGCCAUUGACACCCAUAUGACAACCCCUUUGAAAGGGGACCCUGGAAUAACCACUGUCGUGGGGGGGUUAGUCACCACUCCCUCCCCCCAAUUUUACGUAGAAAAGACUAAAGGAUUCCGCCCAAGGACUUAAACCAUCAAAUUCGUCAAAGUUGUGACAAAUUGCUAUGGGAAGUCCAAACCUGCCAAUGCAGGAAAAUUUAUUCCCAGUUCUUCAACAGCAACCAGUCAAAACACCGUAGCAGUGCCCACUAAACAGGAAGAAAAUGGCUAACCUGCAAACAAGAAACAUUAAACAAAGGGAGGGUUGGGUGGGUGGGUGAAGUUCCUGACUGGACUGACUGGCCACGGUUGGCUCUACCCCCUAUUUAUAUGACUGGCCCCACCUCCCAGGAGUGUAAAUUGACUAACUGAGGCUGGCUGCGAACCUCCAAAGAAUAAUACUGAGAGGCAGGCCAGGCCACACAACCUGUAAGUUCCCUGGGGUCUGAAGUGCCGCGCGUGAUCCCACAAAGGGCACUCACCGUAUACAGUGUGAGUGCUCAUUAAUAGUAUUAUUAAUAGCUAUUGUUAAACAUCUUCCCUUCUGAUGUCAGCCCUGUUCUGUAAAUUUCUGUUUUGUGGUUCUGUGGUGCCCCCUCUGGGAACUCUUUACUAAAGUGAAUGCAACAAACGGUUGUUGUCUGUGUUGGUUUCUAUUUCCUUCACUGAGCAGCAUCUGCAGUCACAAGACAGGUGUUUACAUUCCACAGUCUGUACUGUUGGAGUUUCUCACGGGAAAGGGAGACUGGAUGUGACGUACACUGGUUUCCUGUUUUUCACUCUGUGAUUCUCUCCGAGCUGUGAAGGAGAGAGGAUGCAUUUUCUGCUCCUGCAGAGGCAAGAUGUCUUUCUGUAAUAUACCAGCUUUGAACUGUAAAUAAAGCAAUAUAGAGUAUGUAGCACGUAUUACUCAUCCUUCCGCUGGGCACGACAGGCUCUGCUUUAAAUCAACACGUGGUUAUGGACUCCAGAGGUCGAAUCGGAGUGCCGGCAAAGGAUCGGAAUGCAGAGGGACGGAUCGGAAAGGAAUCUGCUCUGCGCGUAGAAGUGAUUGAUGAGGUAUGUGCUACUGCUCCGGGCAGCCUGCCAGCUUCAAGUUAAUGGCUUUAUGGCUGGACUUUGAACUUUUAAAGCCGGUUUUGCCGGGAAUAGGCAAAAGGCUCCCAGGCACAAGUCACUAUGCUGGGGAAAUCGAAAGUAACUUUUAAGUGUGCCUUUGUGAUAAAGCAGCUGCAGCAGUGACGCAGCAAGAUUUAAAGCAGCAUAGAUAUGACGCUGAAGGCUAAUGCCAGAGUCAUGAUGGCCCUUCAGGAUGCUUGUGGGAUUCCUAAGCUCAACAAGAAAAAUUACAGCGACUGGGUUCAGUAUGCAGAGGCAAUUCUGCGGAAAGAGGGUUUGUUUGAGGUGAUUACAGGAACCCCCAGUUCCAGUUACAGAUGCAUGGGAAGCUAAGGAUUCCAAAGCAAGGGAACUCUUACAUUGAUAGUAUCCCCAGAAGAGCUCUGUCUAUUGCGUGAUAAGACCUCAGCCAGAGAAAUUUGGGACGCUCUGAGAGAGGCUCACUUAAGGACAGAAGCUGGAUCCACUAUGUUUUAUUUUAACAAGCUGCAUAAUAUGGCUCUUGCUGAAGGUGGAGAUGUGCGUUUACAUCUAAUGGAGAUGCAAAAUCUGAGACAUGAGCUGCAACAGAGAGGACUCAACUUUCCAGAGGCUGUGUAUUCUUUCAUGAUACUACAAUCUUUGGGUUCAGGUUGGGAGUCUGUUGCAACCCAGAUUGCUGUGCAACCAACUGCUCAGCUGACAGUGGACUUUGUUACUGCCGUGAUUUUAAAUGAAGCAGAUCGCCGGGGUGCUAGCUGCAUGGGCAAGGGAGUCUUCACAGACGUCAUCCCAUAGUGCAGUGGAACCACCAGAUGGCGCCAAAGCUUUGAAGGCAGUGAAAUGCUACUCGUGUGGACGUCUAGGCCAUAUGAAGAGGGAAUGCAGACAUCCCAGGGCCAAGACAGAGCAGCGCAGCGAAGCUCAUCGCGCGGAAAGGCCGAGGCAAAGGCAAGGUCCGGUGUCUAGGACAACGCAGCACAAGGCUAUGGUUUCACGCUUCACUCCAAAGGUUGCAGAGGUCCAGAAGACGUCUAGAUCUUUCUUCGUUGUUGAUUCAGCGGCCACCCACCACAUGUGCAACGAUAAGAAACUGUUUGUGUCUUUUACACCGCAGGAAGGUGCGAUUCACCAGGCGGAUGACCACACUAUUCCCAGUAAAGGCUACGGAACUGUUGUUCUUCACAGUUUGGACUUAUCGAUACAGAAUGUGCUUUACGUGCCAGACGCCAAACAUAAUCUGCUCAGCGUUGGACAGCUGAAUGAGCGGAACAUUGACGUUUCCUUCAAGAACAAGAAGUGCAUCAUCACAAAGAAAAAUGAUUAUGUAUUGCAUGCAGAAUAUGUUGAUCAUUUGUUUGUUUUGUAUUAUGAUGAUGUGGUGCAGGAUGACACUUGUUGCAUUGCAGGUUCUAACAAAAGUUUGCAUGCAGAAUGUAUUCACGAUUUUCAUCGAAAAUUUGGUCAUUUGCAUUUUGAGGCAGUAUCUAAAAUGCCUGCCUUGGUUGAAGGUAUGACUAUUAAACCCUGCAGGUACCACAUGAAGUGCAAAGCAUGCGCAGCAAACAAGGUGAAAAUGGCUGCGAAAGGUAAGGUGUCUAGUAGGAAAGCUACAGAACCAUACCAGGUUGUUCAUGCUGAUUUGGUUGGACCACUAACGCCCUCUUUGGGUGGAAAUAGAUACUUCAUGGUUCUCAUUGAUGCAUUUUCUAGAUAUAUUUUUGUGUACAAUCUCAAGCAGAAAUCGGAGGCUUUUCCUAGGUUCAAGGAAUUCUGUGCUUGGUUGGAAAAUGUGCAUGGUAAGAAGAUAAAGACUCUUUUCAGUGAUCGCGGGGAAUUCACUUCUCAGCAGUUUGAAGCUUUUCUGACUGAGAAAGGAAUUCAACACGAUUUGUCUAGUCCUCGCUCGCCAUGGCAGAAUGGACUUGCGGAGCGGGCAAAUCAGACAUUGCUUCAAGGGUUAAAGACCUUGCUGCAUGAUGCCAAUCUUCCAGAGAGUUAUUGGGCCGAAUCUCUCUCGUGUUUUGUUUACAGUUACAAUCGCAGGUUAUCUUCAGCGAUUGGUUGUACCCCUAUGAGAAGAUGUUUGGCAGAAGCCAUACAUCAAACACAUGAAGAUUUUGGUUCUGACAUGUGGGUUCGCUCACCACAAAACUCCAAGUUAGACAAGCGUGGAUUGCAUGGUAUCUUUCUAGGUUAUCAGAAAGGGUCUUACAGAAUAAUGAUGACUGACUCUAAGACAAUUAAGCUCACGAGAAGUGUUGAGUACAAUGCAAAGUGGGGGAGAAUGUGGGAAUUUUCCAAUGUUAUCCUGAUGACGGUGAUGAGACUGAGGAUAGUCAAAAGCAACCACAACAGCCCACACCCACUGAUGAAGGUUCUGAGUCUGAAUCUGAAACUGAAUCGGGUGAUUCAGAGGAUUUCGAGAGUGCGAAAGCCUCUAUGCGACCCUCUGAAAGCUCUGAUCAAGAAUUGGAGGAACCAUUGUUCACAAUAGGUCGUUUUUCUCCUAAGAAGGAAGAGGAGAGUGUUGAAGACUUAAGGCUAAUUCGUAGGUCACAGAGAGCCACAAAAGGCAAACCUCCAAAGAGAUUUGCUGAUGAGUUUGCUAAGAUAGCAGUAACAGCUGUUAAAAGCUCCAAGAAGGUAUUUGAACCUUCAAGUUUCCAAGAAAUCCAGGGUUUGGAUUCAAAGGAAGCUGAGCCAUGGUUAAAUGCCAUGAAGGCUGAGCUUGAUUCCUUAGAAAGGAACAAAACAUGGGAGCUAGUUCCAGUAGUUCCAGGAAUGAAACUGCUUGGAAGCAAAUGGGUCUUCAAAGCGAAGACAGAUCAAAAUGGCAAGAUAGUCAGACACAAAGCCAGAUUGGUAGCCAGAGGUUUUGCACAGGUACCAGGUGAAGACUAUCACGAGACCUAUUCACCCACAGUGAGAUAUGAAAGCAUUAGGCUUAUGCUCAAGCUAGCUGCAGAGGAAAAUCUACACAUUAGUCACCAUGAUAUUAAUACAGCUUUUCUGUACGGAUCUCUAGAUGAAUCACUUUAUAUGCUUCCACCUGAUGGCGUACAGGUAAAACAGGGAUUUGUUUGUGCUCUGAAGAAAUCCCUUUAUGGUCUCAAACAAAGUGCACGGUGUUGGCACACAAAACUCACUGAAGUAUUGUUUUCUCUAGGUUUUCAGCAAGGAAAGCUGAUCCAUGUGUAUUUGUCAAAGAGGAGGGGCAAAAGAAACUGUACUGUUUGUUUUAUGUUGAUGAUUUAUUAUUCUUUUGGAAAGAUGUUGCAAUGUACAAUAGCGCCUAGCUCAACUGAAAGAGCACUUUGACAUGAAAGAUCUUGGUGAGGUAAACAACUACCUAUCUCUGGAAAUAGAGAGAGAUCAAGAUGGUAACAUUCUAGUACACCAGUCACGGAAAAUUGCUGAUGUGUUAAGCAAACUAAAUCUGAUGGAUGCUAACCCUGUAGACACACCGAUGACAACAGGUUAUCAGGUAGAUGACACUGAAGAAGCAUUUUCUGACACUACACUGUACAGGAGUGUGCUAGGCAAGCUAAACUUCAUUGCCAGAUGUUCAAGACCAGACAUUGCUGUUAGCUGUAAUUUGCUAAGCAGACAAGUCAACAAUCCUAGUGUCAAGGAUUGGAAAGCUCUGAAACGCAUAGCGCGGUAUUUGAAAGGCACUAUGCAUUACAGACUGAGAUUUAACAAUCAGAAGUCUGGUGGUCUUGAGAUAUUUGCAGAUGCAAGUUUUGGAAGUGACACUACAGACAGGAAAAGUACGUCUGGAGUUUGCUACAUGUACAAUCAGAGUCUGUUUGAUUGGUCAUGCAAGAAGCAAACAACAGUUAGCUUAAGUACUUGUGAAGCUGAACUGAAUGCACUGUCUUAUUCACUUAAGGAUUGUGAAUGGUUAGUACAAUUGUGCAAAGAUAUGAAAAUUCCUGUCAAAUGUCCAAUCCAGGUUUACCAGGACAACAAAGCAUGUUUGGCUUUGCUGAAGUCUGAAGGUUGUAAGCAAAGCACAAAGCACUUACAAUUAAAGUUGCAGCAUGCUAGGGAAUGUAUUCAGAAGGGACUCGUAACGGUGUCCUAUAUGCCAGGUAAUGAAAUUCCUGCUGAUGUAUUGUCCAAGAUUGUAUCAAGGGAUCAACACUGUACCUAUGUGCAGAAGUUGGGUUUGUACUGAUAUUGUGCGAACACGCUGCCCAGUGAUGUUCACAGAAAGGGGGAGGAUGUUGGUUUCUAUUUCCUUCACUGAGCAGCAACUGCAGUCACAAGACAGGUGUUUACAUUCCACAGUCUGUACUGUUGGAGUUUCUCACGGGAAAGGGAGACUGGAUGUGACGUACACUGGUUUCCUGUUUUUCACUGUGUGAUUCUCUCCGAGCUGUCGAGGAGAGAGGAUGCAUUUUCUGCUCCUGCAGAGGCAAGAUGUCUUUCUGUAAUAUACCAGCUUUGAACUGUAAAUAAAGCAAUAUAGAGUAUGUAGCACGUAUUACUCAUCCUUCCGCUGGGCACGACAGGCUCUGCUUUAAAUCAACAGUCUGAGGUCUAGUGAGAUUUGUGUGUCUUGCACAGUAAUACAAUGUCUUCUGCUUUCAGGCUUCUCAUGUGCAGAUAGAUGGAAUCUGGAGCUACCAUCCGAAACCAAGAGUCACAUUUCUAUUGCAGAAGAAUAGCAAUUGACCUCAGAGCUAUUAUACCAAAAGGGCCAUUCCAAUCCUUUGCCAAGUUUCUGCCUGAUCCAGGAAUUACAGUACCUGUUAAUAUCAAGCCCAACAGUGGCACAGAUCAGCUCCUGGCUUUGCAGAAGUUUGUCAACACAAGAGGGGACAAUAUUAAUACUGGCUCAUAAUAGGGAGAUACACUGGGCCACCAAAGUAUGGCAAAUAGCACUUGUGGAAAAAUUAAUUUAAAAACCUAGCAUGAAGACUGUUUUGUAACUGUUCACUUUCACUGUAUUAUGUAAAAAUGAAAACAGAUGACUUCCCUCACAUUAUAAAAGGUUUUUGUUUAACAUAAAUCAUUUAUCACCUUCUAUACGAAUGGUAAUCUGAGAUAAGAAAUUAUGUUAUUUGGAUAUUAUGUUCAUGUAUUGCCUAAAACACCAACCUCUGGGUUAGGGUAGGAUAUUUCAUGUAUAUGAUGUUGCUAUAUCUUACAUGCACAGAACAGAAAACAGAGAUUCUGUUUCUGAAAGACUUUCCCCUUUUGUAUAUAGCCCCAAGAUAGCUUGUCUCACUUUGUGUUGAUUUUCAUUUCACAUGGUUUUGACAUACUUAUUUAUUGAUCGUCAUUUAUUAGAACCACAUUUCUGCAUUCAAAAUCAGUUUCCUCUUUUUGUACACAGCACCAAUUGUUGUGUCUCACUGUGUAUUGCCUGGCACAAAAAUAUACUGCAGAGUUGGCAGCUGCCAGAGUUUUCAGCUGGAAAGAAACCUCAUUCUUGGAAGAAUCUGAAGAAAUGGAUAUUCGGCUCUUCAGAGAAGGGGCAUACCACUUAGUCCCAUCAUAGGGGUGUACUGCUACAAUCCAUUCUAGACCUUUUCCAGCAGCUUGACGGAACCAGUGCCAGACAGACUGCUGAGUGGAGAUGGAGAAACCUGUGACUUUACAGUGCAAGCUGAGGGCCUCUCCUGGUCUCACCAUUCCUGGCCCAGAUGAUACAAGUUGAACAUCUGAGAAGACCCCUUGGAAACAGAGAAGAUUUCAAUGAGUGUUUGAACGUCACGUAAUCACCACUUGAAAUACACUAAUAUUUUGAACUUCCCACAGAAUUUGCGCUUACCUUUUGUAAUGGCCAUCAAUGACAACAAGAACCACAAGAACUUCAUGGUAUUAAGAAAAUAAUGUGCUAGAAAGGUAGGAAAGAUGCGGCUUUGGGUUGGGGAGAAAGGAACAAUUUAUAUUGAAGGAAAUAACACCUGUCCCAAGAAUCCCACAGUCUCCCUGAGGAAUUUGCAUGAGCCCUUCCUUCAACAAGGAGCCAUAUAUAAAAGAGCUGGUAAAAUCUGGGUUAGUGUCAGGGUAAGUUCCUGCCUGCCUUCCAUUGGUAUCAUCUCCUAGUAGCCAAGCUCCCUUCUGGCCCCCCAUACAAUAUCUGAGGGGGCUGCCCCCCAAGUGGAUGAAUACCCUGCAAAUCAAGUGCCUCUCUGUCAAGUGCACUGCCUUGCUACCAGGAUUAAGGGUGCCAGCAUGCGAGAUGUGUGCAAGUGAUGUCAGCAUGCUGCACAGUGUGCUGGUGUCAUGCACACACAUUGUAUGCCAUGCCCAUGCUGUGCUCAAACAUGGUGCAUCAUUGUUACCUCAGUCGCACAUGCUGAAUGCUGUGCACCAUGCCAAUGUGUUGUGCGCACUCUGCAUGGGCUGCAGGAUUAAAGUGAGCAUGUUGUACAUCAUGCAUGCACGGCUGAUGCAUAUUGGGGGGGGGACUGGUUCCCUUGAAAACUUGGGGGCCCUCAGCCCCUCGCUCUCCCCCUCUUAGAUGGCACGUAUGCUUUCCAUGCUCUCUGCUUGGAGCAGCCAAGAGUUUCCUGCUGUUUGGUUCCAAAAGGGUUAUUAGCAGCAGCAGACUGGAAGGGGAGACGGAAGAGAGACAAACUUCUGUUUUCUCUGCUUCCUAGCUCUGCCUCUCUUGCUGGCAAACUUGUGCCACCCAAGAGCCACAUUCCAUUAUUCUGCCACCUUCGGUGUGUCACAUGCCCCUGGUAUAUUGAGACACAGGCAGAAGUAGUAGAGCAUCAAAUGUAAAAUUUCCCUUUAUUUGGUAGACCAGUUUCUACCCACACCUCUCUCUCUGUGGUCUUUCCCAAUUGCAUUUCACAAUACAAUUUUCAUAAUUUGGCUUAUAGAAGGAACCACUCUGUUAUGUUCAUAGAAUUCAUAUAAGGUGAGGGGCUGUGAAGGAAGGACAGUUUUUGCCUGCCUUCAGUUUCACUUCUUCUCACUGUGUCUCUUCUUGCACAGUAAUACACAGCUGUGUCGUCUGCUGUCAGGCUGUCCAUUUGCAGAUAGAGAAGGCUGUUUGAAUUGUCCCUGGAGGUGGUGAAGCGCCCCUUCACUUUAUCCAAGUAGUAAAUUUUAGAUGACCUUUCAGAUAUAGAUGCCACCCAUUCCAAGCCUUUUCCUGGUGCUUGUCUCACCCAGUACAUGACAUAGCUGCUGAAGGUGAACACAGAGGCUCGGCAGGAGAGGCGGAGGGACUCUCCUGGCCUUUUCAUGUCCCCUCCAGAUUCUUCUAGUCGGACCUCUGAUUGGAUACCUAGAAAGGAAGAGAUCCUAAUGAGACAUUUUGCACACCGUCAAUUGCCAGAAUAUCUAAUUCUUCUUCAUUUGAAAUAAUGGAUUUAUCUCCAACAAUUGCUGAAAAGAAAGCAAGAGGAAGUAAAACUAUCAUUUCCCCUGCCUAGUGCUUGAAGAGGGUUGAGCAAAACCUGGCCCCAGCAAUUCAGGGACUUGUAGUUGAGGAAGAUCGGAUGUUUGCCUGAUUUAAAGAGGAAAUGGUGAGUGAAAAUUUGCAUACCUAUCAAUAUAUAAAAGCAUUACUAAAACCCUUUGGCUCUGAAGGUAAGCUUGGGAUUUGAAAUGAGCAUGUUAUUUCCUAAUGUACAAGUUUAGCAGGUGGGAGCACAACAGAUUUACAUAUCCUUCUCAGAAUAAAAGAGCAAAAAGUAUCUCUGGAGCAUGAAUUUGUUUGGUCUACUACUCAGACUCAACCAUCCCAACAGCCUCGCUUGGACUUGCUUGCAGAUGGAAAGGCAACUCCCAGUCAGAUCGCACACUAUUCCAGAUUUUGCUCAGCAAAAUCUACAGGUCCUGGAUGACUGGUAGCUCUAUGAAUGCUUCCACCUGCUUCUGGAGGCAUCAUGAGGCAAAUGAAAUGGAAAGUAGUGGACCCAAAUAUACCAUGAAAUAUGGAGGCAUCAUGAGGCAAAUGAAAUGGAAAGUAGUGGACCCAAAUAUACCAUGAAAUAUAUUAUGAAAUGAAAACAUUUUCAUGAUACAAUAAGAUAAAAGGAACAAACGGGGAGAAAAAAUACAAAGAAAGAAAGCAGUGCUGCUGCUGCCAAGUUCAGGGAGGAUGCUGAGCCAGCGCUUCUCUUGAGUGACGGCGGCUGUGGCUGUGGCAGCUGCAAUGGAGCAUCCUGUUGCCUUUCCAUGGCAUCUCCAUGGCUGCCGCCUCUAACCUCUCUUGGGCAUCUCAUAGCAGCUACUGGAGAGAAGGAGGAGAUAUACUGUAGUGGCCACUGAGGCUCAGCUCUGUGUGACACAGUGACUCUGAGGGAUAGGUAGAGAGCAGGGCUGCCCUGGAAAGGAAGAAAGGGAGCGAAGUGGAGCACAGAGUCUUUAUUUUCUUUUUAAAAACAUGCCUUCUGUUUUUGCCUCUAAUCUUGAUCCUUUCUUAAAUUUAUUUAUUGGCGUGUGCUUUUCUUUUUGUAAAUCUACCAGGGAAUUAAAUCAAGAUUAAGGGGGUUUCCCGGAGUGGUGGAGGGUGUGUGUGCUGUUUAUUGUUGGGGUAUAAAAAAUGCUUAGGGAGGGGGGACCCAAAAAUGGAGAGUCAAGUUGACGGGGAGUGAGAAAUGUCCCUAUUUUCAUUUGAGGAAUGUUGGAGGGUAUGGCUCUAGCAAUCGGGUUGCUCCUUUGGGACAUGACAUAUUCCUGGGGAUGCACUGAUACAAGGUCCUUGUUGCUGGCCUCUCUUCCAGAUCCACAUGUGCAAGGAAUUCAGCCCUACUCAAGCAUUCAAAGCAAUUGGGGGUGGGGGUUAAAGUAUGUAGAGGGAGUACGGAUGUCUGUGCAGCCCACCCCCAUGCCUUGGUCUCCACCACCCUCGUGCUUCGGAAAGAGGAAUUUAAGCAGGUUUGGCUGAACAUGUUUAUAGCCCUUCCCGUGAUCAGGAAUGCCACAGUAUCAACCAAAUACACUUACACACCUACUUCAGACCUUCCUACUCAAUAUGGAAAGAUAGCAGAACAGCGGGAAGGGAUGGAGCAUAUUUCAUCCUCAUUCCAUGUGUUUCAGAACACCUGAAGAGGGUCACUGUGUCUCUCACAACUGGUCCACGAUACUCCAAGAGCACAGUUCAAAUCCAAGGAUAAACAAUGGGGCCAGCUUCCAAUUAAGGUUUUUGCUUGAACUAACCACUUCAUUUGCUGCAACCAGGAACAUUUUUUCUAAUAAGUUUGCAAAGGAAAGUUUUUGUCUGAGGUUAGAUUUACUUCCUCUCAUUGUGUGCCUUGCACAGUAAUAAACAGCAGUGUCCUCUGGUUUCAAGUUGUUCAUUUGCAAAGACAGCUGGCUGCUUGAAUCAUCCCGGGAAAUGGUGAAUCUUCCUUUGACAGAAUCCGAGUAGUAAGUGGGAGUUGAAGAUGUACCUAUAAGGGCCACCCAUUCCAGGCCCUUUCCAAGAGCUUGUCUCACCCAGCUCAUUGCAUAGCUCCAGAAGUUGAACCCAGAGGCUUGGCAGGAGAGGCGGAGGGAAUAUCCAGGCCUUUUGACACCCCCUCCUGAUUCUUUGAGCUGGAUUUGUGACUGGACACCUGAAAGAAAGACCUACAAUUAAACUGUGGGUUCAUUAUCCACUAUAAUAUAACAGUUUGCCUAUAUGAAAGAAGAACAAAUACCUUUGAGUAUUACUAAAAGGAAAACACCUGGAAGCCAAGGUGUCAUUUUCCCUUCUUUUACUAGGAGAAGGGUUAAGAAGAAAGUGGCAACCCAGGCAGGACACACAGUGGUUGUUUGAGUGGGUAUCACAGGGGCAGGGAACGUAUAUGGCAGGUUCAAACAGGAAGCUGCCUAUGAAUUUGCAUACCUGUCGGAAUAAAAGAGCAGCACAGGCCUUCAGCAACCCAAUCUCAAAAGUCAUAUGUGUGACUUUGGGCUAUCAAAGAAUUGCUGCUGAUUUGCCUGGUGAGGAACAGAGUGGGGAAGUUGGCUCAAGGUAUUUAAGUAAAACUGAAUGGAAUCUACGAAUGAAACUGCUUGCAGAAUCUCUACUCCUGGUGCUUUCAACCAGGACACUCAUUAAAGAUAGUUUAAUAUCCAGCCUUGGGACAUAAUAUUCCAAGAGACUAAGAUCAACAUACGCCAACCUGGUCCCCACUGAUCAUUGUGGACUAUAAUUCCCAUCAGCUCCGGCCAACUCAACCUCCUUCCCCACCCCCCUCAAAACAGAGAGAAGUUUGGCUCAUGUUACAUUGAAUAAGCUUCUGCUGCAGAACAUCUGGCAGAUGACAAGGAAGUGCCUUGGCUGAAUUUUUAUCAGUUGUUUUUCAUUUUGGUGAUUGAAUUAUCAUUUCAAGUUAUUUUUAGAAACUUUGUCAUUUAUUGCCAUUAAAACCACCUUACAUUAGAACUAUUGCUCAGUAUUGUCACUGCUUUUCUUCUUCUAAAAAUAAUGUUUAGGGGUACUCACAUUUUCCUACUGAUAUUGAAAUACUGCCCCUCAAUGAUGCCAAACUUAGAUUCACAAAAUGUUUAGGGGUAUGCAGCCCCCCCAAGAAAAAAAGCACUGUGUAUUGUUAAUAUAAUAAUAAUACCUUUAUUGUCAAUGUACAACCUGUAUACAAUGAAAUUAACCAAGCCUAACCAAGCCUCCCCCCAAAAAAAACACUCAAUCUCAUUGCACUCUGUUUGCUUAUCACACAACACACCACCUCAUAAGUCAGUUGUGCUAUGUUAUUUUCUGUUCAACACCCUGACAGCCCACGGAUAGAAACUAUUUUUUAGCCUGUUGCUAUGACUGAUUAUACUUCUAUAUCUCCUGCCCGAGGGUAGAAGAUUAAAGAGGUGCUGGCAGGGGUGUGAGUCAUCGCUGAAAUUUUUUUUUGUUCUCCUAAGGCAAUGAUGCCCUGCAAUGUCAUCUAGUGGACUCAAGGGACAGCCCAUGAUAUCAUGUCUUGUAUUCACCACCGUUUGUAGAGACUUUCUGUCCGUGGCUGUCAAGCCAGCAUACCACACUUUGAUACAAUAUGAAAGUUAAUAUAAUAGUUAUAUAAUAGUUAUUGCAUAAUGUCUUCCUUGGUUAUUUCUGCUUUGUGGGUUUCUUAUUCAUGGUUCUCUGCUGCCCCCUUUGGGAUCUCUUUACUAAUGUGAAUGUGGGGAACAGGUUUUUUUCCCCUUAGGUCUUCUGGGAUGUCUCAUACUGUUGUCUCUUCCACACUUCCACUUGUUUCACCACUUUCCCCCAGGAAAACCUGCUGUUUACUGUUGAAUAGGAGCAAACGUCAAUGGGGUUUUCUUCUGUGGAAUGACAUUUGUGGUAAAAAAUGGAAUUCCUUUGGGAAAGUGGUGUGGCCAACCAGACACACCUCAUACUGUUGCCUCUUCCACACUUCAACUUGUUUCACCACUUCACCGCAGGAAAAGAUCAAUGGGGUUUUCUUCUGUAGAAUGAUAUUUGUGGUAAAGAAUGGACUUUCUUUGGGAAAGUGGUGUGGCAAACCAGAAUUGCACCCCUUAGUCCUAUGCCUAGAAAGCAUGGGACACGCAGAAAACCUCUUAGACCCAUCCUUUCUAAGUGCUGGACAAACAGAAGUGUGGACAAGCCCCAUGCCUCUCACACAGUAGUACAAGGCCGUGUCUUCUGCUCUCAGACUGUUCAUCUGCAGAUGGAAGUUGGAGUCACCUUUAGAGGCCCAUAAUUGAACUUGCAUUGCAGAAGAAUAAAAACUGUACCCAGGAGUGGGAUCAUAAUACCAAAUAAGCCAUUCCAAUCCUUUGCCAGGUUAUUUCCAGCAUCUGCUCUGAAGGAGCUUCUGGGGUUUUUGUACAAGCAGGAAAGCAGAAGUUGUCACUGUGUCUCUUGCACAGUAAUACAGGGCAGAGUCCUCAGGCUUCAAGCUGCUCAUUUGCAAAUAGGCUGAGGUUUGAGAAUUGUCUCUGGAGAUUGUGAAUCGUCCUUGAACUUUGGAAUUAUAUAAUUGUUUGCUUCCAGAAGGUCUGCUAACUUCAGCCACCCACUCCAGUCCUUUCCCAGGAGCCUGACGAAUCCAGUUGAUAGCAUAACUAGUAAAGUUGAAUCCUGAAGCCUUGCAGGAGAGGCGGAGGGAGCCUCCAGGAGCUACAGCACCUCCUCCAGUCUCCACCAACUGAACCUCUGAGUGACAGCCUAAAAAAUAGAAGAAAGAGCAUCAGGGUAUACCUGUGAAGAAAAGUGUGCAAGUUCCCAGAGUUUCCAGUGAGAGAAAUAUUACCUGGGAGAACUGUCAAGAAGAGAAGGAGGUUUAACCAAAGAAUCAUAUUAGUUUGGAUCACCUUCAUGACUGGUUCAGUCUUAGCUGGCUGGAGGCUGCAGGACUGAAUUGGAAAGGACAGCUUUUAAGGCAAUGAAGUGGUUCAACUGAUUUGCAUGUGCUUCAUAUAAUUAACUCCUUUUCUCUGAACUCUUAAUUCACGUUUCUUCCCCAGCUAAAUGGCCAUAGAGAAGAAGAGGAGCAAUUUGCCUUUGUUGGCAAUGAUUUUGGGGGUGAGCCUUCCUUAUUGGGUGAAUCUCACCUGGCAGCAAGUGGAGGUGUGUAGUUUUCAGAUGAGAAAGUGUAACCUUUCAUCAAUGUUCAUUAUGGACAGUUUGUUCCAGAGCAGCUCCUCAGGAUUGAGUCAAAGGCUCCUUUUAGGUCCAGGAACGCUGUACAAAGUUUUUGAUUAAGAACACUAGAGUUUAUUUAAACAUAUAUACAACCUGAGCCUGUGAUGGAGGGGCUCACAACAUUGACACCUGAAGAGGAUAUUACUUCUCCCAUAACUGUACAGAAUCUAAUCCAUCAUCCCAGUUGAUGUUUAGCUCCAUACAUACAUAGGUAACAUGAGAACCUUUCCCCAGGGAAUGCUUUUGCUCAAUUUUUACAGUACCUCUUUAUUAUUCUCAUUGAAUUCUUAAUUUCCAUUGGGUUUGCAAGCUUGCUUGCUUGCUUGCUUAUUUAUUUAUUUAUUUAUUUAUUGUGAUUCAAUAGAACAAACUAUCUUUUCAUAGAAAUGAUAGGUUCCAGCAUGGAAGCAUCUCAUACAUUUUCAUCUUUGCUAAGGAAGCAAAACCAUUAUAUUUGGCUGGAUGCACAGAAACAUAUAUCUGGAAUAGCCUGACACGGGAAUCGAGUCCACCAUCAUGAUUACCUGCAUACAUACAGAAUACAUGAGAACCUUUACCUAAUACAUGAGAACCUUUACCUAAAAAAGCCUCAAUAUUUCUUUAAUUUUCUCAUUGAAUUCUUUUGCAUUGCGUUUGCAAAGUAAUUUAUGCAUUGUGAUUGAAUAGAAUCAACUUUCUGCAUUCAGAAUCAGUUUCUUCUUUUUGUUCAGAGUCCCAAUUGCGGUGUGUCACUGUGCUAUCUCAAGCACAUAAAUACACGGCUGAGUCUGCAGCUGUCAGGGAGUUCAGUUGGAAGGAGAACUUGUUCUUGGAGUUGUCUGAAGAAAUGGUUACAUGGCUCUGAAGAGAAGAAGCAAACCAUUUCCCCCCAUUAUAGGGGUAUAUUCUUGCAACCCACUCUAGACCUUUGCCAGCAGGCUGACGGAUCCAGUUCCAAACAGAACUUGAAUCAGUGAUGGAGACACCAGUAACUUUACAGAGCAGACUGAGGUUCUCUCCAGGCCUCACUGUUCCUGGACCAGAAGAUACAGAGCUGAACAUCAGAAAGGACCCUUGAAAGAGAUAACUAUAAUGAAUUGAUCAUCAUCUAAUGAACAUCAUCUAAUCACUGCAUGGAAUCAACCUAUAUUUUUGAACUUCCCAUAGAAUAUACACUUACAUUUGUGAAAGGUCACCAAAGAAAACAAAAACAGCAGGAACUUCAUGGUUUUAACAAAGAAGUGUCCUAGUGAGGCAGGAAAAAGGAGGAUUUGGACAUGGAAGAAAGUCAGUAAUUUAUACUGAGGGGACCUCUUUUGCUGAGAGUUCCUCAAGACCACCUCCAGCCUGCUUGAGUGAUUUGCAUGUGUCCUUCCUUAGCAAGAUAUGCUAUAUAAAGGGACUGUGAGAAACUGGGCUGAGGUCAGGGCUGGCCUGCUUUCCCCUCAGGUGUGUUUCCAAUAUGUUAACAAACAUGUUUACUGUAAAAUCAGUUGCGUGGCGAUACCCGCCCCCUCCCACAGAUGGAAUAAAUAAAGACACAGGACACCAGAAUUUAGGUUAAUGGGAGAAAAAUGGCCACAACUUUGUUGAUUACAGGUAAGAGCGGUAUUGACUUUAGGCAUUGGCCCUAUCAGACUAACCGGUAUAACCGGGAAGGGUUAAGCACCAACAAGGGGAGCCCCCGAGAUGCACAUCCCUAGGCGCUCCCCGAGGGGUUACCGCUCGGGAGCGUGCUUUAGGCCCUAGCCUCCAUAGGUUUCGGACGAGUCGACGCCCCCCCCGGAGUCCUUUAACGAACUACCCUUCAACAUUUGGGGGAGGUGAUGGCAUUCCUCUCCCCAUCUCAUUUGCAUAAUAAUACCCCUGUCAAUGCCUAACCGCCCAAACCAAAGGUGUUGUGACAUUUUGCUAUGAGGUAGGCGAAAAAACCAAGUGGCUUCCAAAAUAUAGCCAAUUAGCCAAAUGGAAAAACUCCUACCAGGCCCCUUGCGGCGACCAGCUGAAGCCCAUAGCAAAGUCCAGAUGAGAACCUAAAGGGCGGGAGGGUGGGAAACCGCAGCUGCUGAAAGAAAAGAAAGGGGUAAGCAUGGGCUGCCCCGACCUUAAAUGCCCCUUACAAGUACCGCCCCCGCCGCCAGCCAAUUGGCUGGAGCAGUGAAUGAUGAAUCUUAAUGACCCCGGGAUUCCCCAAGUCCCGCGGGGCUGCAGCCAGCCCCGCGAGGGUGUGAAUGGGGCGUGAGUCCCCAACCCCCCCCUCCGUAUGUCAGGAGUGGCUUAUUAUAGAUUUUGAAGCACAUAAUUUUCAAGAAAUCAUGCUUUGGAUAUCUGCCUUGCUUUCUGAACCAUUUUGUUAGCUACAGUUCUUUUAAUGUCAACUGUCCAGCCAAUUCAGAAGAAGGGGCCAAAGAAGGGGCUUUAUGAGAUCACUUAGAAGGAUUUCAGUCAAAGGUCCACUCUGAAUGAAUUGAAGGAUAAGGCUCUUCUAUCCAGCCUGUGUUUCAGCUGGUAAAGUUGAACACACUCAUAACUUUCACAGGAACAUGAGAUCCCUCUCAGGCUGCCUAAACCCUUCUCUGCAUAAGUUUUCUGGUCCACAGAGCCAGCCCACCAAUGACUUGGGGUGAGUCAUCUGCCUUAUGUGGCACCUAAUGGAAGUGGUAGGAAAGCUGCCUCACUGCUGCUUAAACCUCAAUGACCUUCAUGGCUGAUUGGAACUCUGGUUUCCUAGACCCUAGUCCAUCAUUCUAACCACUACACCAUGCAUUCUCUGCAGUGUCGUGUCAUCCCUGAUCAUUGGCCAUGCAGAGAAAAGAAACCAAUUAUUCACCAGGGGAAGGAGGAGAGGGAUGGGGACAGAGGAUCCUUCCUCUGCAUCUCCUCUUGGAAUCUGCAUGCUGACUUGGGUGGUGGGGGCUUCAUCCAUGCUUGCAUAGCUCAGCUCAGCCCUUCCUUCAAUGCAAGACAUGGAGUUGGAGCCACCCCUUGAAGUUCAGACAGGGAUCUCAAUCCUGUUGCUUGUGUCUGAUCUGCAUGUAUGACCUUCAAACCUCUCAGCAGUGCUUCUGUCCAUAUGCCAAGGACAGUGGAUUUAUCAAGUUGGAUUUAUUGCCUGUCUACAAAGGUGGUUUGAAGAGCAUGUCAAACAUGGAAGCAUUGACCAUAUGAACCUUUAUUACCAUAAAUGUUUUGUUGUUCUUGUUGUUGUUCAUUUAUCCACCAUCGCUAUUAUAUAUGGAACAUACUUAACAUACAUACGUACAUACAUACAUACAUACAUACAUACAUUGUUAUGUAAGGAAGCCUCACAGAAUCAAGAAAAAUCCUUCCCCCUCCCCUAAGUAGUUUCUCUUAGGGAUAAAGAGACCCCAAGUGGAAAGGGAAUUUCCCUGUCAGCUGCUCAAGAAAGGAAUGGUUAGUGAUUAAGGCUUGUAUUUAGUUCUGUGAAACAAAUAACAAAUAUUCAAUAUUGCACAAAAUGCAUAUUUGCGACCAAGGACACUGCUUUGUCCCCAUGACUGAGAGGGCCGGGGUCACCCAGUUUAAGUACACCAUGCACACAUAAAUUUAUUAUUUGUAUAGGUAGCUUAUUGAGGAAAGAUGAUCUUUUGAAUGGGAGAAAAGGUCGGGAUUUUUAAUGUGGUGAGUUUCCUUUUGAAGAGGAAUUCUGCCCGCCCCCAUAUUUGCAUGAGCCCCUCCUCCAAUGACAGAUGGAAUAUAAAGUGGCUCUUACAAGCAAAAUGGUGUAGGCUUUUCCAGGACUUCCUUAUUUGUCAUUGAGAAUGCCUGGACAGAGAGAUGGUUUCCCCUCCUCAGCACUUGCUCUUUGGUACAUCGCUGCUCUGGGCAUUUAUUCAGGCAUGUCUGCAAAGUUUCUGUCCCACAAAACUGACUCAGCAGAAAGAGGGGUGGCUCCAAAUCCCUCCUCUUUAUCCUGCCUGCUGGGACUGCAUAAAUAGAGAGAGAGGGUGAAGCUCCUGAAAGCCCAGAGUAUAUGAUUGCAUAACCUCCAAGAUUCCUCAGAUGAAAAUAAGGACAUUCAUCACUCCCUAACCCUACAACUGAACCUCCUUGACCCCCUUUUAUUCUCCCCUAUGUAGUGCAUUUCCUGACAGAAGAACAGCCAGGUCCACCACACAGAAGACCUAUCCUCCACUGUCACUUCCGGGGUGGCGCCACCGGCACUGGUGGACUCCCUCUGAACUGGAGGGACUAGCUCCGCGGACAACGGGUCUUCUCCGCUACGGCGAGCGGGGACCCUCUUAAAAAUCACAGGCGGAUGAAGCCUGUGACCAUGGAACUCGGCGGGCACCUUUAGCGCCCCCCCAACCCACUAAGGAACCCACUAACGGGCUCCGAAGUGAAGAGGGGGAAGUGGCGCGGUGCUGUGAGUCAACUGCUAUUUCCGUGGAGCGAAGCCGCAUAGCUGUUGCCGGAGAGCGCUGCCUUUUUCCUGGGACAAUUUGGACUUUAAAAUAAGCACCCGUGAGUACUUAGACUUUGAACAAUUGGACAUCAAAUAAGGACUUGCGAGUAGAAAAGAAUCGGACUUUAAAAAUUUACUUGAAUUUGGUACGGAACAGGAAGGUCUAAACAGGAAGUCAUCCUUCCGUUCUUUUGUAAACAGAAUAAAGCAAAGGCAACUUAAACUAGAGCUUAGAAAAUCGCUUUUAAAAGAUUGGAUUUCACCAUUUAAAAUUGUGGAACCCCCCUUCGACAGCAGGAGAAGAGGGGAUCUUUUGGACUGUUUAAAGUGACUUUAAAGUGAAGUAACUUUCCUCCGUCCUGAUCCUGGAGUGGGCUGUCAGGACUGACGUGUGAAGUUCAUUAACCAAAGACAAGUGUUUUUGACAGAUGGCUAAAAGAAGAGAAACCUAGUGAUUCCACUGUUCCCUUUCGCAUUUUAAAGGAUUAUAUAUGGACAAAGUAUCUUUAAAAAGGAUACUUUGUUGCAAGAAUAAAUAGAAGUCUUCCCCCUAGGGGGAGUCUGUGAAAUUGUAACUGUGAAACUGUAACUAACUCCAGGGAGUCGACAGCUGUUACAGAUUACAACCGUGGGAACAAGUAUCUGACCUUGUGGGACAAUGUAUUCAGAAGCCUUCUUGUAUGCUCUCUAUAAAACAAACGAUCUACUGGAACAAUUACACGAGAAGGUGAAUUGGAUGGCGACUUCGACUAGAAAUUUUGAACAGACAGUGGGAAACUUUGAACAGACAGUGGGAAAAUAUGUGGAGCCCACUCAGGAUUUAAAUCAGGAGUGUGUCUUGACAGAACAGGAGUUUUUGACAUUAAAUCAGGAGUGUGUUUUGACAGAACAGGCCCAACAGGAAUAUGAUUUUUGGAUUUGACAAAUGAACUUGGAAAAAGCCAUAUCUGGAAAGGAAAAGUUUGGCUUGGUUUGGAAAUGGGGGGCUGGAUUGACCCCCCUAUGCUGGGAUGUUUGGACUUUUCAAAUAUGGCAACGGGCCGUGAGAUGUUUGGGACUGUGGGGGCUCUCAAUUUUGGAGGGCCUUUGAAACAUGCUUUUAAAUACUACAUGGAAUUCAUUGUUGAACAUGGAAAAGGGGCUGAUCUGUUGAGAAGGGUUAAAAACAUUGUCAAGCUGGAGUUACCACGCGCAAGAGACAAGGGAAAAUACAGUUACAAAUAUGAAGAAGAGCCACGGAAGGGUCAUGGAAGAGACUUGAGGGCCUCGGACAUAAGGUUGCCAGGUUAAUGGGCUAGAUUGACGGGAAUAAGGACUGACAAAACCCGGAACCAGGAGGAAAGGGACGCUGGAUGAAGAUUGGAUCUGUUUAUACCUCUUUUUUCUACUAUUAGAACUGUUUUAUAAAAUUGAUGAAUGAUAGGAAAAUGUUGGAAUGAAAAUACUUGGCUUUAGCAAAGAUGUUUAAAGAAUUAUGAAAGAAUAUUAUCAUCAGGAGAAGUUGGUAAGGAUAAGAUUUAAGUUUUAAGUGUUAAGGUUUAUUUUAUUAUAGAAAGAUAAGGUCAAGGAUUUGCUGGGAUAAUUAAUAACUAGGAUACAAAGAAAGGGAGGAGGAGGAGGUCUAAGAAAGAAGGUAAUGACAGUUAAGGAUUUGAAAAUAAUGAAUUUGUUUUUAAAUGUUUUUAAAGUUUUGUGAUUUUUGUAUUCUUUUUUUCUUUUUUUCUGUCAUUUUUUUCUCAUUUGGAAUUUUUUCUUAUAUGGUGGGAAGGGGUUGGUUUUUUUUUCUUUUUUCUACUUUGUUAACUAUUUUUAUUCUUUGUAUUCUCUUCUGCUUCUCUUUUUUUUUGUAACAUUUUGAAAAUCUCAAUAAAUAUCUUUAAAAAAAAAAAAAGAACAGCCAGGGGCACCACACAGAAGACCCACCCUCCACUGUCCUGAGAAAGCCCCUUAAUCAUUUUUAUUUUAUUGUAUUGUAUUCUUUGAUAGAUUUACAAAAAGAAAAACACAACCAAUAAAUAAAUUUUAAAAAGUGGCAAGAUCAUAUGUGGACAUACAAAACAUUCUUUAAAUUAAAAAAGAUCAAGACUUUUUAUUUAUUUUUUAAUUAAAAAAUAUCAAGUCUUCCCCUCCCCAGUGCAAUUCCAAUUGAAAGUUAGGAAAAGGUGGCAAUUGCCUAUUCAGAUUUUUGCUUGAACUAUCCAGUUUAUUCCCCACAAACAGGAAAGAAAUGCUUUUAAGACUUCAGAUGAAAGUUUUUGUCUGAGCCUACAUUGAGUUCCUCUCACUAUGUCUCUCUUGCACAGUAAUGCACGACUGUGUCCUCAGGUUUAAGGUUGAGCAUGGCAUUUCCAGAUUACUUUAUUCCCAGUCCAGGAGGACCACAACAUGCUGGUGGCAGAAGCUGCUCCUGAAUAUCUUCCACUGUAAUCAGAAUUCAUGAAAGAACAGAAAUCUUGAAGGGAAGUAUAAAGGCCUGGGAGAGAAACAAAGGAAUGGGCAGGAUGAAUUUGCUUUGAACGGGCUUACUUUGUUGGAACAAGAUGAUUAUGGGACAAUCCCCAACAGGCUAGAGAUGGGCCAAAGAAGAACAAAUGUUCCCUGUAGUAACAGCUAAUGUUGUUCCCUUGCUUUGUCUGCUCUGUCCUGAUAGAUUCUGGUUUGUGGUGCUUUGAUGCCCCCUCUGGAAUCCUCACUUAAGAAAUGCAAUGAAGGGUUUUUGGCUAAGGUCUAAUGGGAAGCCUCUCACUGUGUAUCUUGCACAGUAAUACAUUGCUGUGUCUUCUGCUGCCAGGCUGUUCAUUUGCAGAUAGAGCAGGCUGUUUGAAUUGUCCCUGGAAAUGGUGAAGCGCCCCUUCACUUUAUCCAAGUAGCGAAUGUCAGCUGAAGCACUAGAUAUUUGUGCCACCCAUUCCAAGCCUUUUCCUGGUGCUUGUCUCACCCAGUGCAUGUAAUAGCUGAGGAAGGUGAACCCGGAGGCUCUGCAGGAGAGGCGGAGAGACUCUCCAGGCGUUUUAAUAUCUCCUCCUGAUUCUGUGAGCUGGAUUUCUGACUGUACACCUGAAAGAUAGACUUAAGGUUAGACUGCAGGCUCAUUUACAAAUACAAUGUAACAGCCGUCUUUAUCUGAAAGAAGGAUUACCUUCAAAUACCACUAAAAGUAAAACACAGUGAAGGCAAGAUGUCAUUUCCACUUAUUUUUAAUGGGACAGUGAUCAAGUAAAAAAUAGCAACCCAGGCAGGGACACACAAAGGUUGUGUACUUGGGUUUUUGUUUGCUCAGGAAUAAUAUAUGCCAGAUUUUAACAGGAAGCUGUUUAAGUAUUUGCAUAUCUGUGAGGAUAACAGAGCAGCCCGACAACCCCAUCACAUAGGCAUACAUGUGAUUAUGGACAGUCAAAACUUUCUGGCAACACCCAUGGUGAGGAACAGGGCAGUUGUCUCAAGAUACUGAAGUUAAAAUUGAACUGAAUCAAGCUCUGAAGGAAAUUGGUGGCAGAAAAUCCACUCUUGGUGCUUUGAACCAAAGAAUGGAUUGAAAGUCAAUGCCCAUGAUUGAUAAUUAAAAUACCAGCCUUGGACAUAAUGUAGCAAAAUGUAGACUUAGAUCAACAUCCAUCAACCUGGUCCCCAUUAUCAUUGGGAAUGAUAAUGCCCAUCAGCCCCAGCCUUUCAAUAGUGCCAGCUAAGAAGCAGAAAGAAGAAAGUUUUAUGAAGAGACAAGUUGGUGCUAGCAUUUUGGAGGUGUUGAUGGUUCUUCACUUGUUGACUGGCUUUGCUAGUCAAGCCCACAGUCUUCAUCCCUAGGCCCCUGCCCCUGGGACUCUGCCUUUGUAGAAGCUCCACUCACUAAAACCAGCUUUUAUUGCAGGUGAGGCAGGCAGGGAGGCUGCUGAUUUGGGUACUCAGUUGUGCGGCACCGCACUUGAAAAGGAAGAACCUUAGCUGCACGGGGAAAGUAGCUGGAAAGUGAGGAGGUUUACCUGCCUAACCUAGUGAAACAAGCUGGAAGGAACAAUGUAGCAGUCCUGGGCAUUGUGUUGUGAUUGGGAAAGAACUAUAAAUUGCUGUUGUUUUACUUAUCUAGGCCAGAACAUCAGUUUCUCUGAGUUUCAAUAAAUGAACAUAGUAUUUCCCAGUUUACUUUAUUCCCAGUCCAGGAGGAUCACAGCAUGCUGGUGGCAGAAGCUGCUCCUGAAUAUCUUCCACUGUAAUCAGAAUUCGUGAAAGAACAGAAAUCUUGAGGGAAUAAUGAAGCCCUGUGAGAGAAAGAAAGGAAUGGGCAGGGUAAAUUUGCUUUGAAUGGGUUUAAUGGGUUGGAACAAGAUGAUCAUGGGACAACUCGCAACAGGCUAGAGGUGGGCCAAAGAAGAACAGAUGUUCCCUGUAGUAAAAGCUAUUGUUAUUCCCUUGGUUUUAGUGCUCUGCUCUGAGAGUUUCUGGUUUGUGGUGCUUUGGUGCCCCCUCUGGAAACUUCACUAAUGGAAUGCAAUGAAGAGUUUUUGUCUAAGGUCUAAUGAGAAGUCUCUCACUGUGUCUCUUGCACAGUAAUACAUUCCUGUGUCCUCAGGUUUAAGGUUGUUCAUUUGCAAAUACAGCUGGCUGUUUGAAUCAUCUCUGGAAAUGCUGAAUCGUCCUUUGACGGAAUCCAAGUAGUAAAUGGGAGAUGAAUAUGUAUCUAUAUAGGCCACCCAUUCCAGGCCCUUUCCUGGAGAUUGUCUCACCCAUGACAUGUAAGAGCUGCUGAAGGUGAACCCGGAGGCUCGACAGGUAAGGCGGAGGGACUCUCCAGGCUUUUUUGCAUCCCCUCCAGACUCUACCAGUUUGACCUCCGAUUGGAUGCCUAGAAAAAAAAAAGAUAUCAAUUAGCUCUUCUGCAUAUUAUUAGCAGUCUGGGUGUCCAACUCUUGUUUAUUUGAAAGGAUGGAUUUACUUAUAAAAAAAAUGCUGAAAAGAAAAGAAGCUGAAGCAAAACUAUCAUUUUUUCCAUCUAAUGACUGGAGAGGGUUGAGCAAAUUGUGGCCCCACGUAUUCAGGGUCCUGUGGCUGAGGAAGGGAGGGUGUCUGGUGGAUUUAAAGAGGAAGCAAUCUCCAAUAAUUUGCAUAUGUAGUAAUGUAAAAGCACCACUACAGCUGUUGGGCAAACUAUGGUUCUGAAGGCAAGCCUAGUCUAUAAAACAAGCUAUUAUUUUCCAGUGUCCAGUUUAGCAGUUCUUACCACAGUAGGUUUGUAUAUUCCCCUCAGAAUAAAAGAGCAAAAUGGGGCUUGGGUAAUUAGGUUGCCAUCUUCCUUUUUUCUUUUUUUCUUUUUCCUUUUCUUAUCUUUUCUUUUCUUUUCAUCUUACUUAAAGAUGGGGAAAUAAUGUUAUUGGCAUCUGGAAAUAAUAGAAUGAAUAAAAACUGACACCACUUGAAAUAAAAAUCAUCUUGACCAAAAAUAUGGUUUCAAAGCUUUACUUACAGAACUUUCAUAGAAUCAUAGAAUUAUAGCUUGUUCCAAAAUAGAAAGAAAACAAUUUUACAUCAAAUAGUUGCAUAAAACCAUGUGUUUGUCCAACCAUAAGUUCAGCGUCUUAGUACUAUAAACUCACUCCAAACAGACUCCAUUAGCCUGAAUUCCAGCCUGAGUCUUUUCUCUCCUGAAGAUACAUCAUUAGGAAACCUUACUUCUAUGGUGGCUUGAGCAAGGACAGAGGAAAGGCGGUGUGGUGGGGGCAGGCUGCCCUGGGUGUCACCACUGAGGAGGGUGACAAAAUGCCGGGCGGCACUCACCGUGGGGCUUGCAGUGCACAAGCCACACGUCUCUCCUGGGAGUGACGCGGUGGCUUGGGUGCCGGCAGGCUCCGUAUUGUCACAAACGGUCCACCCGCUGCCUCCCCCUCAGCUGUAGGGUGGCUGAGUGGGAGGAGGCAGGCAGUGUCCUUGGAGGCCCCGUGGAGUAUCCUGCCCCGGCUCACUCCACCGCUGGGCACAGGACACGUGCGCCGCUGCAGGCGCCCAAUGGGCUUGCUCUGCCGCUGAGCUUCAGAACAAAGGACAACUCCCUAAAAAUGGAGGUUUGCAACUGAAAUCAAGAUACAGGACCGUAUCCCAUAAGAACUGUAUGCCUGAAUAGCACCUCAAAUGAAGUGGCAAAGCUUCAUGCUCCAGCACUGGGGAGGCGGAGAUUAGGUGGGGGCAGGGCUGGCGUGCGUCCUGAGGGCAUGGUGUGCCACCCGCAGUGGCGAGACAUGCAUCCUGGGGCCGUGGUACGCCGCCUGUGGGAACUUGGCAGCCCCACCAGAAUUGCACUGCCAGGGGUGGUGCAUUCCCCCCCGCAUGCCUCUUCCUCCACCAGUGCUCAAAUGUUGUCACAUGGUGUGAUUCCUGAAAGCAGUGGAAAAAUUACAGCAAGCACAAAAAUCUGGGAUGAUGGAAUUCCAAAUGGAUGUUUUUCUGGAAUACAUUAUCAUGGGAAUGAGCGCUAAGGUUCGACAGGAUUACACUAGAUUUACAGAAGUAGCUUUUGUGUCAUGUGAGAGAUCUCACCAGAGACAGAAAGCAUGUGGUAAGGAAACAUUGGGAGAAUGGAAUGAAAGGCUGUUUGAAUGCAGCCUUGGAGUGGCACUGUGAUGUAUUGUGCACUUCACAUGGGAGUUGCCCCACUGGGUCCCUGUAUGCUUUUCUUCCCCCCUUGUUGACAAUGCAUCCUUCUCUAGCACCUGCAUUCCAGCAGCAAAUGCUGCAAAGCAGGGCUUUUUGUACAAACAGGAAGAAAGAAGUUCACACUGUGUCGCUUGAACAGUAAUACAAGGCAGAGUCCUCAGGCUUCAAGCUGUUCAUUUGUAGAAAGGCUGAAGUUUGAGAAUUGUCUCUGGAGAUGGUGAAGCGUCCCUGAACUUUGGAAUUAUACCAUUGGCUACUUCCUGAACGACUUACUCCAGCCACCCAGUCCAGUCCUUUCCCGGGAGCCUGACGAAUCCAGUGGAUUUCAUAACUAGCAAAGGUGAAUCCUGAAGCCUUGCAGGAGAGGCGGAGGGAGCCUCCAGGAGCUACAGCACCUCCUCCAGUCUCCACCAACUGAACCUCUGAGUGACAGCCUAAAAAAAUGGAGGAAAGAACAUCAGUGGAAACCUGUGUAGAAAAGUGUGCAAGUCUCGAGAGUUUCCAGUGAGAGAAAUAUUACCUGGGAGAGCUGUCAAGAAGAGAAGGAGGUUUAACCAAAGAAUCAUGACUCUUCUGUGUUGCAGAUUGUUUGGAUCACCUUCUUGACUGGCUCAGUCUUGGCUGGCUGGAGGCUGCAGGACUGAAUUGGAAAGGGCAGCUUUUAAGGCAGUGAAGUGGUUCAACUGAUUUGCAUGUGCUUCAUAUAAUAACCUGCUUUCCUCUUAAUUCACAAUUCUUUCCCAGCUAAAGGGCCACAGAGAAGAAGAGGAGCAAUUUGCAUGUAGAGGUGCUGUGUCCCCAUAGCCCUGUAGGUCACGGCUGACCAAAAGACCACUCAAGACUACAAUGUAUGGUUCAAAUUAGGCGACAACCUUAUUGAAUGCAACUGUAAGAGCCCUGACUGCUAGUUGAUCGACCCAGGGGUCAAACCAAUGUUUAGGAGGCCUUAUUACACACAUCAGGUGCCUCUUCACAAGAACCACCAACUCAAGAAGUGCUAUGGUCCUACCCCGAUAUAUCCAGAAAUGCAUUUAUCUGGGGACAGCUUGCAUCAUUAUGGUAAAAAAGACAUAUAGAAACACAUUAUUUUAAGAGGGAACACUUUGUAUAUUGGUGAAAUUGCAUACAUAAAUGUAUAUAAGGGAGAAAAAUUGCACCAAGAUGCUGACAAGCUUUCAUGAGGACAACUAAAAUAUUGCAAAAACAGUAGAGAAGCAGCACCAGAAUUGGUGACUCUUUCUUGUGAGAUCUCAUCAGAUCUCACCGGAACUGGCCACUAAACAUAGGUAAGGGUAUCUUUGGCUGGGGGCAGGCAGAAGAUGGCACAGCAGUAACACUUCCCAUUUCUUCAAAGGAGGUGAAAUGGGGUUCACUGCCCCUGUUGCAGCUGACCUUAGCUGUGUUUAUUAUAGUUUGGCCAGAGAGGCUCCUCAUAUGUAUAGCUGGAUCUGCGGGUCAUUUGCACUCUUUCCCUCCUUCCUCCACCAACUUUUUCAGAACACUGAAAAUGAAGACCAUUAUCAUCCAAUGUUGAAAAACAUUAUCUUACAGCAGGGUCAACCCAGAAAGAUUUGAGCCAAAGAGGGCUUUGCCGCUCUUUAGAUUCACUUUCUCUCACUGUGGCUCUCUUGGACAGUAACACACAGCUGUGUCCUCAGGUUUCAAGUUGUUCAUUUGUGAAGAGAGCUGACUGUUUGAACCAUCCCUGGAGAUGGUGAAUCUUCCUUUAAUAGAAUCCAAGAAGUAAACAGAAGGUGGAGAUGUGCUUAUUUGGCCACCCAUUUGUGGCCUUGUCCAGGAGCCUUUAACACCCAGUCCAUUGGAGGGGAGACUCCAUGGGGCUUUUAAUGUCCCCUCCAGAUUCCUCGUGCUGGAUUUCUGAAUUGGCACCUGGGAGGGAACCUGGGUGGUGUCAGUAGGGGGCAUCCUAGAUGUGGGUUGGGAAAUGUUGGACGGUAUGUUAUUGAUGAAGGUGGGGUGAACUUUGCUGUGUUCUGGCUUAGUGAGUAGGAACAGGAUGAUCCAAUGGCAACUCACAACAAGGCUGGAUCUGGACCAAAGAAUAAAAGUUUUUCAGUAUUAUUAAUAGCUAUUGUGAAACUAUUAACAGUAAUAAUAUUAAUAGUAUUAAUAAUAUUGCAUGACGAGGUGGCAACUUCCCCAGCCCCCAGGGACCACCAAAAAGGAAUAAUGACUUGUGGCAACGUGUUAUGGAAUUAAAAUUUGUUUUUUGUUUUUUUAAUUAAUAUUUAUUAAGUUUUCAAAGAAUAACAACAAAAAUUGCCAGAAAAAUUUGAAAAUACAAAAAGCAAAAAAGAAAAAGAAGAAAAAAAAACCCAACCAAAAAGAAAAAAAAAGAAAAGGAAAAACAAAAGGAUAAAGUCAUUUACGAUCUCUAUUGACUUCCUUUCCAGACUUCCUCCUCCUCCCCUCUCUUGUUUCUUAGUUUUUAAUUUUUACAGCAAAUCCUUUUCUGUUUUUUCAUAACAAUCUGUCAUUACAUUUCCUUAUUCUAUUUUCCCUCUUGUCAUAUAAAAACUUUAAAACCCAAAGCUUAUAUUCUGUAUUUACCAAAUUCUUAUUAUCAUUACCUUUUUGCAAGUCAUUUACCAAUCUUUACAUAAGCCAUAUAAUUUCAAUUCAGCAUCUUUCAAACAUUUAUAAACAUUCCCGAUAUUAAAAAAUAAGGAAAAUAGUAAGUCAGACACAAUCCAGUCAACUUCCAGCGUCCCCUCCCCUGGACCCGGGAUUGUCAGUCCUUUUUACUUCAAUAGUCCGGCUCCUUAACCUGGUUGUCUCGUGUCCGAGGCCCUCAAAUCUCUUUCUUGCCCCUUUCGCGGCUCUUCUUGAUGUUUCCCUUUCAGUCGUGGGUACUCCAGCAGAAAGAUACUUUUGACCCUUUGCAACAAGUCCAUCCCAUACCCAUUGUCCAAGCCAGACAGCAGAUAGUACCACUUCACAUUUCCUCGAAACUUGGAGGCUCCGACUGCUCCAAACCUCUGAUGACCCAUCACCAGACUCGGAAAGUCCAGAUAUCCAAAUAAAGGGGUCAAUCCAUCCCCCAUUUCCAAAUCUAACCACAUUUUAUCUUUCCGAAUCUGGUUUAUCCCGUGUUAUGGAAUUAAAAUUUGGACACAACUUUAUUAAACUUUCAAGUGUAGGAAGACCUUGGCUUAGGCAUUGGCUGUGUGUCCCUUCCAGCCCCCAGCUGGGAGAACUGGGGCUCCUCAGGGUAAUUGGGAUAUGGGGGUGCUCUGCAAGAUGCAUCUGUAUGCAGGCAGCUCACCCCAUAUCCCUGCACGUAGGGUAGUUCACUGACAACCUUUCAGUGUAUGGCCAGUGACACCCAUAUGACAACCCCUUUAAAAGUGGACCCUGGAAUCACCACUGUGUGUGGGGGGGUGAGUGUGGGGGGGGCAGAGACAAGGAGUGUCGGCUGCAGUGAUAGGCAAUUGUUUCCCCUUAUAUAAAGAUGUAAGCAUGCAAUAAACUUAUGCAAUUCCAUAAAAAGUAGGGGAACAAUUUGCCUUUGUUGGCAAUGAUUUUGGGGUGAGCCUGCCUCAUUAGGCACAUCUCACCUGGCAGCAGGUGGAGGUGUGUUGUUUUCUGUUGAGAAAGAGUAACCUUUCAUCAAUGUUCAAUAUGCACAGUUUGUUCCAGAGCAGCUCCCUCAGGAUUGAGUCAAAGGAUUCUUUUAGGUGCAGAAACGCUGUACAAAGUUUUUGAUUAAGAACACUAGAGUAUUUAUUCCCUAGGUGGGAAAGUAUGAUACAAUGACACAAGGUGGUUUUGCUCUGGCAAAAGCACACCUCCUCAGGGACUGGUAAUGUAGAUGGGACAUCCACUGGGUAAGCUUUCCCAGAAGUUGUUUAGCAUAUAGCUUCCCACUAGGGAGAGGAGGAUUAUUGGUCUGUAUUUGGAUAGCAAUGUGCACUCUCCCUUUUUGUAUAUUGGAACGACAAUUUGUAUUAUACAAUAUACAAACGACGAUUUGUAUAUUGGAACGACGAUAUAUUUGUAUAUUGGAACGACGAUUGCACUUGUCCAUCCCUCUGGCAUUAGUCCAGACAUAUCUACCUCUGUGAAUAGAUUGGCCAGCAAGAGAGCCCACCAAUCAGGGUCUAGCCUAAGAACAUUGGGACCUAUGCCAUCUGGGCCAGCAGCUUUCACUUACUUUAACUGGCCUAUUAACAUUUUUCUUUCAUCUCAUGAAACUGGAGGCCACGUGGGGGCUCGCUUUACGUAGAAUGAUGAAAAGCUGUCCCACUGGAAAGAUCUUCCUGCAAGGCACUUGAAAAGUAAAGGCACCAACCACUAGGUGAAAUAGGCGGAGAGGAGAGGUCAUUGGUGUUAAAUGCACCAGAAAUUAACGAACAGAAUUUGUUUCAUUGAGGUUAUGGCAUAGUGUUGUUCCCAUUGUUUGUUGGCAGGUUCGGAUUUCUCUCUUUUUUUAUAAGAUGCUACAGCGGCUCCCUCGGCCAAUAAAGCAAGAUGAGCACCGCAACCCCAGAGUCGGCCACGACUGGACCUAAUGGUCAGGGGUCCCUUUACUUUUACAGUAAGUUUUUAGUCCUGAAAUAUUCUAGUGGUAGGGUGGUAGCCUCUUCCUUACAGUGUUGUCAGGAGAUAGGCAACCACUAGGCAAAAUAGGUGGAGAGGAGAGGUCAUUGGUGUUAAAUGCCCCAGAAACUAAGGUCCAGAAUUUUUUUCUUUGAGGUUUUGGCAUAGUGGAGUUGUUCCAAUUGUUUGUUGGUAGGUUCGGAUCUCUCUCUUUUUUAUAAGAUGCUGCAGUAAGUUUUUAGACCUGAAAUAUUCUAGGGGUAGGGUGGUAGACUCUUCCUUACAGUGUUGUCAGGAGAUAUUGCAGAUGUGUGCUUUUGUGCUGGUCCCGGGGGUAAGGUACCUUGGGUGUAGCAGAGUCCACACGAAGAGGGGCAAGGUCCGAGGCAGAGAGCCGGGCGGGGAACAGGAAUGCUGGAACAGGAGGCUGUGCAGGGAACAGGAACACCGGAUGGUCGGGAACAGGAGGCCGAGCAGGGAACAGGAGUACCGGAUAGUCAGGAACAGGAAGCCGAGCAGGGAUCAGGAACACAGGAAGGUCCGAAGCCAACAACGACGUUGCUCCCGCAACCUGGGGCCGGGCUGACUGGGCUUUUAUCCUCUUCUAAGGCCAGGGCCGGUCCCGGUCCCCAGCAGCCCCGCCUCCUCAGUCCUUAAGGCGAGCACUCCUCCUGGGGGCAACCAGUUCCCUUCGCCUCUGCCCUAAGCCUCUGCAGAUCAGGAGAGGCCGAAGGGUUACUGGGCCCUGGAGGAGGCUCACCUGUGGCCACUGAGUCAUCAAGCCCCUCUGGGGCCCGAAGGGCUUCACCUGGGGCCAGCUCCUGAUGCACUGCCACAGGUGCAGGCUCUUCAGCAUCAAGGCCUUGCCCCAGUUCAGCCGGCCCUGGAGGCGGGGACUCCUGUGCAGGCCGGGAUUCCUCUGUUUCAUCCUCCGAAUCGGAAUCCCAGGCCAUCACACCAUCCUCCUCCCAGGCCCCCUCAACCGAGGGUCCGGACCCGGCUUGCCGGGAUACGUCGCAUGGAACUCUCGGAGGCAGGCAGGUGCAUGGACAUUGGCCGCUGGUUCCCAGGAACGGUCCUCCGGUCCGUACCCCUUCCAGUCAAUGAGAUACUGCAGCUUUACCCUGCGGUAUCGGGAGUCCAGGAUGCGUUCCACCUCGUACUCAGGCUCUCCCCGAACCAACACUGGCUGCGGUCGGGGACGGUUCUGGUGGAACUCGUCGGGUGGGGCCACCGGACUCAAAAGGGACCUGUGGAAGACCGGGUGAACCUUCAGGGUUGCGGGUAACCGGAGACGGAAUGCCACAGGAGAGAUUUGGUCUACGAUAGGGAACGGGCCGGUGAAGCGGGCGUCCAACUUCCGCGAAGGUCGAGAGGGGUGGAGGUGGCGAGUGGAGAGCCAAACCAGGUCACCGACGCGGUUCCGGCCCCACCUGGCGGUGGCGGUCGGCCUGGGCUUUGUACGCUUCCUUGGCCUGGUGCAGUUGCUCCACCAAAAGCUGUUGCUGGGACUGGAGCUCUUGAAGCCACUCCGUCACCGCCGGGACCGCGGAUGCCGGCAGCACCUCUGGAAACAGCCGUGGAUGAUAACCAUAACUGGCCUGGAACGGGGUCUGCUGGGUGGACGCAUUCACCGCGUUGUUAUAGGCGAACUCCGCCAAUGCCAGGUGGUCGACCCAGUCAUCCUGCUGGUAGCUGCAGUAACACCGGAGGUACUGCUCCAGCACCGCGUUCGCCCGUUCCGUCUGGCCAUCGGUCUGUGGGUGGUAGGCUGACGAGAGGCAGACCUCUGUCCCGAGGGUCUGGUGUAAUGCUCGCCAGAACCGGGAUGUGAACUGAACGCCCCGGUCGGACACCACGCGCUCAGGUAGACCAUGCAGGCGGAAGACAUGCUGAAGGUACAGCUGAGCAGUUUCCUUGGCUGUGGGUACAGAUGGACAGGGAGCGCAGUGCACCAUCUUGGUGAAAUGGUCGGAGAAAACCAGAAGGCAGGUACAGCCACGAGACGAGGGUAAGUCCACUACAAAGUCCAACGAAACUGUGUGCCAAGGGCGCGGUGGAACUGGCAAUGGCUGAAGUAGGCCGGGGGUCGCCCGGUAGGCCCCUUGGCGCGUCGGCAGACAUCACAACCAGCAACGUAGCGAGCCACGUCAGCCUUCAGGCGGGGCCACCAAAACUCGCGACUGACCAGAUGGGUGGUCCGAUACCGUCCAAAGUGCCCCGCUGCCGGGGCAUCAUGGGCCAUCCGGAGAACCUCCAGCCGCAGUGGCCCUGGCGGGAUGUACAGACGACCGUGGUGCAGCAGGAGGCCCUGAUGCAGGACCAGCCCCGGAUACUGUGGGCUGGACCCUUCAGCCAGCUCCCGGAGUCGUUCCUGGGCCCAAGCGUCGACCCGCUGCUGUUCCCGCACCCGAACCUGCAGUGGCUGCGCCUCCUGGGUGGCCAGGAAUGCGGCCGGAGGUAGGAUCGUGGCGGGCUCUGCUUGCUGUACCGUGUCUGCGUUGUCUUCAGGUUUCCGGGACAGGGCAUCCGCCUUCAGAUUCUGAGAGCUAGGGAUGUAGCGGAUCCGAAACUGGAACCGGGAACAGCACACCGCCCCCCGGAUCUGUCUUUGGUUCCGCUCGCGGGUGGUCCGGAGGUACUCCAGGCUCCGGUGGUAGGUACUGACCUCCACGGGAUGUCGUGCCCCUCAAGAUGGUGGCGCCAGACCUCAAAGGCUACCUUGAUGGCCAGUAGUUCCCGCUCCCACACAGUAUAGUUACGCUCCGCUGGUAGGAGCUGGCGGGAAUAGAAGGCACAGGGUAAGAGUGGCGCUUCGGGCCCAAUCUGUUGAGACAAGACGGCACCAAGAGCCGUACUGGAGGCGUCGGUCUCCACCACAAAGGGUCGAGAGGGGUCAGGAUGCUGUAAGAUUGGUGCCCUCUGGAAACAGGCCUUCAACCCCUGAAACGCCUCCUCUGCCUCCUUGUCCCAGGAAAACGGCGUCUUUGGGCGCAGUAGCCGGGUCAACGGGGUGGUGCGAUGAGCAUAAUCAGCGAUGAAGGUCCGGUAGUAAUUGGCGAACCCCAGGAAACGUUGUAGGUCCUUGCGGUUCCGGGGUGCCGCCCAUUCUUGAACCGCUGUCACCUCCCCGGGUCCAUUUGCACCCCAUCCGGAGAGAGCCGGUGACCAAGGAAGUCCACAGUCCGCUGAUGGAACUCGCACUUGCUGAGCUUUGCGUACAAACGGUGCUCACGCAAGCGCUGCAGCACGGUCCGGACAUGUCCCUCAUGGCGAGCCGGGUCACGGGAGUAAAUCAGUAUGUCAUCCAAAUACACCACCACGUACUUGUCUAACAAGUCCUGAAACACGUGGUUGAUGUAGCGUUGGAACACAGCAGGCGCGUUGCACAACCCGAAAGGCAUAACCAAAUAUUCGAACUGCCCGUACCGGGUCCCAAACGCUGUCUUCCACUCAUCCCCGGCUCGGAUCCGAAUCAAGUUGUAGGCCCCCCGGAGGUCCAGCUUGGUGAACACCUGUGCCCCUUGCACCCGCUCCAGCAGCUCCGAGAUAAGGGGCAAGGGGUAUCGGUCUGGGACGGUAAUUUUGUUCAAGGCUCGGUAAUCAUGGCAAGGGCGGAGUUCCCACAUUUCUUCUUAACGAAAAGCACUGGUGCCGCGGUAGGCGAGGUGGACGGCCUAAUGAACCCACGCUCCAGGUUCUUGCGCAAGAAGUCCUGCAAAGCCUCGCGCUCUGGCUCUGUUAGAGAAUAUAAGCGACUCACUGGUAGAGGCGCUCCGGGUUGGAGGUCUAUGCCGCAGUCCAAAGGCCCAUGCGGCGGCAGCUGGUCUGCCCCCGUUCCUCGAACACGUCCUGGUAGUCCUGAUACACGGCUGGGAGCGUGGGUGCUGCCUCCUCUGAAGGCGCGGCCGCCAGCGUCCCGGAUUGAGCAUGGGAACAUGGGUCUGGGAAGUGCACGGUCCGUUUGACCCAGUGAAUCUGAACGUUGUGGGCUUCCAGCCAGUCCAUCCCGAGCACCAGGGGGAAGCGGGGCAUAGAGGCAAUGUCCAAAGUUCGCAACUCCCGGUGCUGCUGGAAACACAGGACCAGGGGCUGGGUCUCCUGAGUAACGGCACCUGAACACAGAAGUCGUCCGUCAAUCGCUUCCACCUGGACCGGUACUGGCUUGUUCCGAAGUGGCACCUGAUGAUGGGCGGCAAAAGCAGCGUCCAUAUAAGAGCGGGUUGCCCCUGAAUCCACCAAAGCAAACGUACCGGAACCAUAAGAUGUUGCGAGUCCAUUGAUGCAGGCCCAUUCUGCGCGGUUUGGGACCCCCGGCAGCUAGGGCCAUCAGCUACUGGGGUUGGCGGUUUCCCUGCGGCUGGCGUUUCUCAGGGCAAGACCGAGCGAAGUGUCCACUUCCGCCACAGUAAAGACAGAGAUUUCCCUCCCGACGCCGCGCCUUCUCUGCGGGGGAAAGGCGUGGCCGCACUGCCCCGAGCUGCAUAGGCUCCUCCGUUAAAUCAGUUGUGACCGUGGGGCUGCCGGAAAAGCUGGUGCCGUGAACUGGAAGUGUCGGCGACCCCGGGCCUGACGACGAUCCUCCAACCGGUCGUCUAUUUGUAGACUCCGUUGAAUGAGAGUGUCUAGCGUGGUGGGGCGUUCCAUUGUGGCCAACUGGUCCAGUACCUCGUCCGAAAGCCCUUCGAGAUACUGGUCCCGCAGUGCCGAAUCAUUCCAGGUCAAGUCCUGUGCCAACAGCCGAAACUCCGUGGUAUAUGCGGCCACCGUGGACUUGCCCUGUUUCAAACGCCGAAUCGCCCGGUUGGCUUGACUCCUUUCUGGGGGUUGCCGAACGCGGCCUCCAAACGAUUGCAAAACCCCGUAUAGUCUGCCAGCAAGGGGAGUCUUGCCUGAGUAGCGGCAACGCCCACUUGGCCGCCUGGUCCUUUAACAAACUAAUCAAAAAGUGCACCUUGGUGCGGUCGUCAGGAAAGUUCCGGGCUCGCCCCUGAAUAUACAGCUUGGCCUGGGCCAGGAACAUGGGAAAGCUGGCCGGGGCUCCAUCAAAUUUCUCAGGCAAAGCCACUGGGUACUUGCCAGGAGCCGAGGCGUCGGCCCCAGGAGCCGGUAGGGCUUCCAAGCGUUGUUGAAGUGCCACAACCGCGUCACUGAGCUGCUGCACGGUGUGAGUCAAGGCCUGGUUCUUCUGGGCCAAAGCCACCAGUGCAGCCGCCUGGUCAGCCAUGGCCUCUGGCUCUUCCCGAACGCACCCCUACGAAGGGGGAGUGCGGGUUUGGCGGGAGCAAACUGUGCUGGUCCCGGGGUAAGGUACCUUGGGUGUAGCAGAGUCCACACGAAGAGGGGCAAGGUCCGAGGCAGAGAGCCGGGCGGGGAACAGGAAUGCUGGAACAGGAGGCUGUGCAGGGAACAGGAACACCGGAUGGUCGGGAACAGGAGGCCGAGCAGGGAACAGGAGUACCGGAUAGUCAGGAACAGGAAGCCGAGCAGGGAUCAGGAACACAGGAAGGUCCGAAGCCAACAACGACGUUGCUCCCGCAACCUGGGGCCGGGCUGACUGGGCUUUUAUCCUCUUCUAAGGCCAGGGGCGGUCCCGGUCCCCAGGAGCCCCGCCUCCUCUGGCCUUAAGGCGAGCACUCCUCCUGGGGGCAACCAGUUCCCUUCGCCUCUCUGCCCUAAGCCUCUGCAGAUCAGGAGAGGCCGAAGGGUUACUGGGCCCUGGAGGAGGCUCACCUGUGGCCACUGAGUCAUCAAGCCCCUCUGGGGCCCGAAGGGCUUCACCUGGGGCCAGCUCCUGAUGCACUGCCACAGGUGCAGGCUCUUCAGCAUCAAGGCCUUGCCCCAGUUCAGCCGGCCCUGGAGGCGGGGACUCCUGUGCAGGCCGGGAUUCCUCUGUUUCAUCCUCCGAAUCGGAAUCCCAGGCCAUCACAGCUUUGAGAUCUCUGCAUUCCUUAUCAAACCAGCAGCAAAGGGCUCCCUGAAUUGUUUUCACACUUUUAUUUUUUUUGGUAAAGUCAUUCAGAGAUGUUAUUAGGAUUUCAGCUGAUGCCGCAGAGCAUCUGACACGUCUCUGCUCAAUUUGCAUGUUCAAAAGUUGUUUCCAGAAUUGUGGGGAAAUCUUUUGAGGAGUCAAACUCUCAGGGGACCAGUACAAAUGAAGCAGAGGAGAAAACAAUUGUCUUUGUGGAAGAAAACACAAACCAACAUACAGUUACACAGCACCCCAAUCUCUGAGCGGUGCAAAAUUCCGAGAGUUCCAGGCACUCAUGCAGGGUCCGUAUUUACUUUUUAAAAAUGAGGCACUAUAGAGACUAUGUUGUCUUUAUGAUAUAUGGUUUAUUUAAACAUAUAUACAACCUGAGCCUGUGCUGGAGGGGCUCACAACAUUGACACCUGAAGAGGAUAUUACCGUACUUCUCUCAUAACUGUACAGAAUCUAAUCCAUCAUCCCAGUUGAUGUUUAGCUUCAUACAUGCAUAGGGGAACAUGAGAACCUUUCUCAGCUUUUGCUCAGUUUUUGCAGUACCUCUUUAUUAUUCUCAUUGAAUUCUUAAUUUCCAUUGGAGCCAUUCCAUUUCCAAGUUUGAGCCACACCAGGAAGUUCAGACAGGAUCUCAAUCCUGUUGCCUGUGCUUGAGCCAUCAUGGUCUGAUCUGUACCUUCAAACGUCUCAGCAGUGCUUCUGCCCAUAUGCCAAGGGCAGUGGAUUUAUCAAGUUGGAUUUAUUCCCUGUCUACAAAGGUGGUUUGAAGAGCAUGUCAACCAUGAGGCAUUGGCCAUAUGAACCUUUCUCACCAUACAUGUUUUUUGUUGUUGUUCAUUUCUCUACCAUUAUUAUUAUAUACAUAGCUGUCAACUUUUCCCUUUCCUUGCAAGGAAUCCUAUUCACAAUAAGGGAAUUUCCCUUAAAAAAAAGGGGAAAGUUGACAGCUAUGAUUAUAUAUGGAACCUACAUAACAUACAUACAUACAUUGUUAUGUAUGGAAGCCUCACAGAAUCAAGAAAAAUGCUUCCCCCUCCCCUAAGUAGUUUCUCUUAGGGAUAAAGAGACCCCAAAUGGAAAAGGGAUUUCCCUGUGAGCUGCACAAGAAGGGAAUGGUCAGUGAUGUUAUUUAGUUCUGUGGAACAAAUAACAAAUAUUCAAUAUUGCACAAAAUACAUAUUUGUGACCAAGCACACUGCUUUGCCCCCAUGACUGAGAGGGUCGGGACCACCCAGUUUAAGCACGCCAUACACGCAUGCUCUGGGGCAUGCUGCCAUCACUCGUUGACCCAGGGGCAAAGUAGAGGAAAAUAGACAGCAGCUUUGCCAGCCCUCUCCUUGGCUGUGCUGCAAUGCAAGAGGGAGCUGCCGAGAGAGUUUCCUCAUGCCUGGCUGCAGCCUCCACUCCAGGAUCAGUCCAGACCUGGGGGCAGAGACAAGGAGUGUCGGCUGCAGUGAUAGGCAAUUGUUUCCUUAUAUAAAGUUGUAAGCAUGCAAUAAACUUAUGCCAUUCCAUAAAAUGUUAGAAAGUAAACCCACUGGAUUGUGACAGACAAUGGUUCUCGUGAGUCUCAGCAGGAGCUUCCUUUACAUCUCCUCUUUAACGAACCUUUCACUGGACAUGGAGAAUGAGGACGGAAAGCUCUGCUGGAUCAGUUGUGAGGCAUCACCUUGGUACCAUAUAUCAAAUCGAAACAAACAUUAAAAUGGGGGCAUUCACUAGGUAAAGGGACAAGCAAAAAGAAAACGGGGAACAAAAUUUAAUCAGGACAGUGGACUGUCAAGCAUGUUUUUGUAAAAAAGCUGCAGUUACAGGAAAAUUCUUCCCCCUUUCAUUGGAGAUACUGCAGAAUGUUGAGGUACAUUCUGCAGGCAAAACAUAUGUUCUAUGAUUAAUCCUCAUCAUCAACAUCAUAAGCCCAAAUGAAUGUCCAAACAUAUAUAAUGGUUGAGAAUUCUGUGAUAUGUCUAUCUUCAUAUGUAUCACCCAGGUUGUCAUUAAGACUGAUUAAUCAGGAGGUUAGGCUGAAUGGAACUCAAUGUUCAAGAGAUCAGCUCCCUCUCUUUGCAAUAAUAUCAUCUUUAUGUUUAUGGAGUAGAGACAGAAAUGUGUGUUCAAAAUCAGUUCCCUCUUUUUGUACACAUCCCCCAUUGGCCUUGUCUCACUGUGUUUCUCGGGUACAGAAAUACAUAGCAGAAUCAGCAGCUGUCAGGGAGUUCAGAUGGAGAGAGAACUCGUUCUUGGAGGCAUCUGAAGAAAUGGUUGCUCGGCUUUUCAGAGAAGGGGCAUACCAUUUGCCCCCUGAGUUGUGAUUUAUUGCUGCAAUCCAUUCUAGACCUUUCCCACGAGGUUGACGGAUCCACUGCCAAGCGUAAGAAGAAGAAGUGGAAAUAGAGAAACCUGUCACUUUACAGACUAAGCUCAGAUUCUCUCCAGGUCUCACUGUUCCUGGUCCAGAAGGUGCAAGCUGAAUGUCUGAGAAGGCCC
RNAcentral lists this long non-coding RNA (48313 nucleotides) under Podarcis lilfordi (Lilford's wall lizard). Lineage: Eukaryota; Metazoa; Chordata; Lepidosauria; Squamata; Lacertidae. The record is from RNAcentral.